Molecule: long non-coding RNA, 52194 nt
Filed under: Eucalyptus grandis
Lineage: Eukaryota; Viridiplantae; Streptophyta; Magnoliopsida; Myrtales; Myrtaceae
Description: long non-coding RNA (EGRA_LNC004244)
Source: RNAcentral
AAGACUGUGAAGUCUGAUCAAGGCUGUUUGAUUGUUUUGUUAAUAACUGUCAAAGUGAAUUACAAAGGGAUCUGUUUGAAAUAAUGUCUCAGAGUGCAUAUCCUUCCAAGCGAUUAUUAGGGAACUGCAGUAAGAGACCUCGAGAAAAUGAAAGUUAAUCUUCAGCAGAAAAAACCAAAAGGCUACAAAGGAAUUGAAGUGAUAAAUAUGAAUUGCCCAUGGCUUUUUGCCAGGCGACAAAAGCUGGUAAGUCCCCUUUAGAUAUUCUGACAACCCUUUUGUGGUCAUUCUCAUAAACAGAACCGUCGCACAAAUGAUUACAAUGUAAGGAAACAUCAUUUUUGAUGUAAACAGAUCGGUUGAAGUGUCCCAUUUAACACCCUGUUUUUUGUUCAGCUGGGCGUUAAUGACGUGGUAGAUCACUGUUUGAUUCUUUUUCUUACAUAAUGCUUUUGGUGUUCAAAAAGCUAGUGACGUUAAUUACCCGCACCGCCCGAUUAACCGCAAAAUAACUUAGGAUGUUUCAGACACAAUGAAAGAUAUGUCUUGUACAACUUUGAUGGUGCAAAAAGCAAGCAUGUUGCUGUUAAUUUUAGAUAGAAUACUACUGAUACAUACUGCUCCCAUGACAAUCAAUGCCCAAGCACAUAGCAGGAACGCGUUGCACUCUUGUUCACUUUCCACCUGUCAAAAUAUCAAAGUAGUUACACUCCUGUGACUGGAAGAGCGCAUGGUACGUGUAUUGAGGGUGGAAGGCAUUCGCAAUUACACACAGCAUGCUAUUGAUCAAGUCAUUACCUCAUUGAAGCAAAGAGGGAUGAUAAACUCUGCAGUUCUGUUCACUUUUGAAUUUAUAUCAUAAGAUAAAAUUAAAAUCGAAUGUAUAAAAAAUACUACUAAGAUUAAAUUAAAAAACUAAUUUUUUUAUUUUUGGUAAGAAUUAAAAAACUAAUUUUUAUUUUUUAAAAUUUUGAAUUUCUUAUAUUAUAGUUCAAAUAUUAUUUAUAUUGAAGUAUAAUUUUAAUUUUAUUAAUUUAAUAAGUUUAUUAUUCGAGAAAAAUAACUUUCCUAUUAUAUAUAUUAAAAAUCAUAUCCAUAUUUAUCCUACCUCUCUAUGAGAUAAUUUUAUUCGGCCUAUAACCUUCUUAUAUCUAAUUUUAUCAUGUGUUGAGUAGACACAAGAAUUUUAUCUUGAUCGUUAAACGCAGUCUUAGAAUGUAUAGGAAUUGCUCUUGGUAAUCUCAUUCCGGUAGAUGUCUACUCUGCUGAUGGUAAAACUUGUAACUGAAAGUGAUAUAUAGAAAAUUAGAUGCAUACUUGCUGUACCAAAAAUUGUUUAGCAUCAAUUUGUCACUCUCUAUAGCAUGCUUCAUAAAUCGUCACAUUCUUUAUAUUUCUUUUAACCCUCUUGUCGGAAGCAAUUGAUGGAACAAAAGCAAUCCAAUUUUUAGGGAGUCAGAAAGAACAGUGUAUUCUUACUUGCUCGAAUCCGUUUGGCGCUUCUUGUUAAGUAUUUGACAUCUGCUUCCCUUUUCUCCUCUUUCCGGACUUCCGCUUCCUUCUUCUCCUUUCCACGGUCUUCUGCUUCCUCCUCGUCCUCCCCUUCAGCGACUUCCGCUUCCUUCUCCUCUGAUUCAUAGGCUCUGACGUUGUGUACCUGCCGAAAGGCAAGCACUAAUUUGUAGUAAAGCCAGCAUAAAAGCUGAGGUGCUAAUCUAAGUACUUCAAGAUGGAUGUUUAAAAUGCCCGGCAAACGACGAGCUGAGCGGUCACUAUCUACGAUUCAUCCGUGCAUGCCCGGGGGUUCAGAAGACUUACCUUAAAUGUCAAAGGCUGGAUCAGUUGAAACACCGGAGCAUCUCCGUCGACAAGAUCAUGAGCAAUGGAGAAACCUCUCCACCCGCCACUAAGGCCAUUCUUGUCAAUGAGAUACUUCGUCUAGAACUCUUCUUCAUCCUCGUCCACGAGGGUCACGGUGUGAUCCCGGUGAGGGAGAUGCUUGUGGCAGAAGUUAUAUGGAAGGCUCUUGAAAACAGGGGAGACAAAUCAUCCAUUAGAAGCUCUGAUAAAUAGCUCUACCAGCUUCUUGUAGAGACUAUUAGCCAGUUUUUAUGCAAAGUCAGCUGCACGGAGGCCUACCCGAAAUUUCGAAGGCUGUGCCCUUUUUCUAAUUACAAGUCAUUAUCGCAUUUUACUACACAUCGAAGGUAAGGGAGGUCCCUCGCUACUACAAACGUAAGGCAGCUUUAUCAAGACUGCAUCCACUACAAAAAAACAGCCGAGGAACAGAAAUGGAUCAAUUACAGCACAUCUCCUGCUGCUUCAAAGCGGUAAGAGUUAGUGCUUAUUGAACUCUUCCAUUACUAUAUUCAUAACCAACAAUCAUUCAAAAUCUUCUUUCCUUCAGACAAACCACAGAUAACUAUUUCAGGAAAAAGCUGCCAAAAAUCCUAAAUUAUGUCCACUUUAACGCAUUCACCCCAAACUAACACAAAAAGCCCAAAACUUGUUCUCAUGUGAUAUAUUUAUUCUAAACUUAUAUCAAUAUGAUGUAUUUACCCAAAAAAAGAAAAAAAAAAGUUCUUGUGACACCAAAAACCAGUUUAGAGUUUAUGGUGUCACCAAAAUAAUUGGAGGUAAAUAUGUUACACAGAUACAAAUUUAGAAUUACUUGUUAUGCAUGCUAAUACAACGAAAUUGCACGUUGUGAUGAGAUUUGUAUGUUGUUAGAUAAUGCACAUUACUAUUGAAAUAGAAUUUGGGAUUUGGGAUUGUCCCUGAUGUUUUGCUCUUUCAAUUUUAUACACGGAUUAUUUUGAAAUCGUUGAGGUUCGACAAUUGGCUAGAGUAAGAAGGGAGGGGAGAGAAAAGAAAAGGAGAGACAAGAAAAUAGGGAAAAAGAAAAGAAUAAAAACAAACAAAUAAAUAGAAGAAUAUUAUUUAAUAUUGUCCAAAUCAGCAUCGGUUGCACCACAUAGAAUGAUUGUCAUUGAAUUGGGAUAAAUGCAAAAAGUUUUGGACUCAAUUGGUAGAAAAAAAAAAGUUUAAGACUGAAUCGGUAUAGUUACAAUAUGUUUAUGACUUUUUUGAUAAUUUUCCUCUAUUUACAUGUUGGUCAAAUGCGUUCUCGCUGUCCUGAUAUAUAUUAGGUGUUUUUGUUUGUUUGCAUGUUGGGAUUGGAUUCCUCAUUGAACUUAAAAUAUACAGGAGGUGUAUAUCUUGUGCAUGCUGUCUAGACUAGAUCCGUCUUGCUUUGCUUGAAAGGUAAAAUGGAAUGUCCGAUUGAUAUGGAUUUGAUUCAUCCAUUAGACUUUGCCUUGACUGCAUUGCAUUCGGAAAUGACAACAAUCACACACGGCAUGACAGAGUGGAGCCGUCACUUGCUCGGUCCAUGAUGCAGCUAUUUCACCUGAGGGCAGGCGACAUAAUUUUUUUUUUUUUUUACCGUCAGAUUCUGCAAAUAAAUGAGAGGGUUACAAAGAAAUAAAUCACAUCAAACCCUACAAAAUCGUUGCAAAUUGAUUGUGGUCCUAAUUUCCAUCAAGCCACCUCAAAAAAAAAAAAAAACUUGGAAUAUUCCAAAUCCAUCGAAUCCCCAACACCUGACCCCGCACUCCCUCGGCAUUCUCCUCGUUAAUUGGGCCGUCCAGACCAGAUUUUCUUUCAUUGAUUCGGCUGGUUUGUUUAUUUUCAGGUGCGAACGGGAGCAUGCCAUGCUCCGUGCGGGGGAUAUAUAAAGCCGUGGGCCAUGACGUGUCGGCAAUGGCGAACCGCCGGAGACAAUUUUAAAGUCAAAGCCUCGCCGCCGGCCCUCGCCUCCGGCCGGAGCGCGAACGAACGAACGAGUGACGACGAGAAGGAAAAGAUCCGCCGUCUCGCUCUUUCUUUCUCAUCCUUUUUGGGCCAAACAACGGCCCCCGGCGGACCCCACCGUAACCAAUAAAAUAUUCAGUGAUGCCAAAGCGCCACGUCAAUUGCUGACGUGCCGCGCUUUUUAUUUAUAUCCAAUAAUAGUGACACGUGUUGGAUGAGGUGGAAUAAAAAAUGAAAAUCUUUUUUUUUUUCAACUUCCUACACCACCCACUCUUCUCCUCUCCUCUGCAAAUCGUUUCUCGGCCAUGGAUGGACGACACGGCCUCCUCCUCCUUCCGGCCACCGCCUGCCCAGCCACUUGAGAAUCCGGUGCGGCCGUCUCCACCGCACAAGCCAGAGGGGACUUGGAACAGUUCAUGGAGUCUCUCUCUCUCUCUGGUGUCUCCUUCCGUUGUCCUCCCUUCAAGUUCCCUUCCGUGAAGCCCAGCCAUGACAGAUCUGGAGCCAUGGCCGUGUUCUCGACAGACCUUGGAGCCAGAUCUGUCGCGGUUAUGGAUUCACAGACGAGGCCGGCCCUCGCCAGAUCUGGGCGAGGGAUGGCCUCGUCAAGACUUGUUCCAUCAUUUUUGAAGGCUCAGCCAUGAUGGCUCGACCGAGAUCUGGAGAAGGCUUAGCGCUCAGCUUUUCCGAAGCUCGGUGAUGACUGGAGGAGGGAGUCGCCGAGAUCUAAAGGUUGGCCAGGUCUGUUGCGGCCAUGGCUUCGCGGUUCCAGAUCUGGAUGCGGCCAAGUGACACCGGAAGGGGCGGAGAUGGUGGCCGCACGGGUGUCCUCUGUCAGGGAGGAAGAUGAAGAGAGAGAAAAAAGAUUUUUUUUUCCCACCUUAUCCAACACGUUUCGAUCUAUUAUUGGAUAUAAAUAAAAAGCGCGUCACGUCAGCAAUUGACGUGGCGCUUUUUGGAACCAGUGAAUAUUUUCUGAUCCGACGACAAAUCGUCAGCGACGGUUACGUUUCUCAUUUCACUAUGACUUCCUUCUUCUUCUUCUUCGAAACAUCGUCGGACGCCGGCAGUACCGCGCGCGCCACCACCCAUGGAGCUCAAGCCCGGCCUUUCCGCUCUCGUCACCGGCGGAGCUUCCGGCAUCGGUAAAAACCUCUCCUCUCCCUCGCUCGUCUCGCCUUCGCCGCCGCCGCCGCCGCCGCCGCCGCCGCCGGCGAUUCACGGCGAUCGGUCUCGUCCGACUAUCGACUCCGAGCUUUCGUCUUCCUUCCGUGUCCGUUGGAUUCUGAUGUUGCCGCCGAUGUCGUCGUCAUGAUCGACGUGCUUUGACCUCGUCGCGAGCUUACGUGUUGAGUAGUGAUGACUGGAUUUUGGCUUUGGAUGGUGUUCUGCAGGUAAGGCUCUGGCGAUAGCGCUCGCGGAGAAGGGGAUAUUCGUGACGGUGGUCGACUUCUCGGAAGACAGGGGAAAGGAGGUGGCCUCCCUCGUCGAGAAAGCGAAUUCCAAGUUCCACUCCAGCUUGGGAUUUCCCUCCUCCAUCUUCGUGAAAUGCGACGUCUCCAACUCGAGUGAGUUUGCCUUGUUGUCUCGAGCUUUUUGGGAUUCUCGGGUUUACGGAGAUCGUGGUGAUGGAUGUUGUCUUGUUUGGUGAGCAGGGGAUGUCGUCAACGCCUUCGAGAAGCAUGUCGCGACCUACGGGGGACUGGACAUCUGUAUCAAUUGCGCCGGCAUCGCUACCCCGGUGCCCUUCCACAAGGAUCAGACCGACGGGACCCGAUUCUGGCGGCACGCGCUGAACGUGAAUUUGGUCGCCGUCAUCGACUGCACUCGCCUCGCAGUAAGUCCGCAAUUUUUCCAAGCACUUCGCUUGGUGAUGCUGCAGUGACCAAGUCGAGCUUUUUGAUUAUUUGCAUGAGAUUAUCAUCUUGUUUUCUCUCUUUCUUUUGUCUUUCGGUCGGAGGGAGCAAUGACACUUCCGAUUGCUAGUGGAUAUUGCUUUACUGUGAGGAAAGUAGCACAAAAUGAUCUGCACUCCUUAACAGGUUAAGGCCAUGGAAUCUGCUGGGAGACCCGGUGUAAUAAUAAACGUGGGAUCUGCUGCAGGUCUUUAUCCUACGUACGCUGAUCCUAUCUAUUCUGCCUCAAAAGGUUAGUUCUCAGUUAAUGCCUCCUUUCAUUUUUCAAUUUCAAUUCUGUUUCCCCAGAUAUAUAUAUAGAGAGAGACGGAAUUCCUGCACCAGUGUCCCUCUGGUGAUACCACCUUUUAAUUAUUAAGAGACUUGAUAACAUUGCAGGUGGCGUCGUCUUGUUUACCAGAUCCCUUGCACCCUUCAAGCGCCGAGGAAUUCGCGUCAAUGUACUUUGCCCCGAGGUGCUGUAUUAAACUGGAAGGUUUUGUGAUGCGAUGUACUAGUGUAAUCAAAACUCAGGAAGAUUGUUUAUUUCGAUUGCUCAUCUCGUGCUGUUUGAAAGUCAUCAGCAAUUGACGUAGGCACUUAUAAUGACAUGAUUAUUCAUCUUCCUUUUUGUUUUUUCCCCUGAAGUACUUAAUAUUGAGGAUUCAUUUUUCUGCUCACAAUUCCAGAUUUGUUAAGGGGGGAACUAUUGCCUUCAUGAAUUUGAAUCUUGCUCGAAUUUAUCAGAAUUUUCUCCUUUAUUAAUUUUAAUUUCAAGCAGGGGUAUUAUCAUGACCAGAAACUUCUAUGGACCUUAUGGUAUAUGACUCUUCUUCCGAUGUUCAAUAGUGUCAUUAUCUAGAGCUGAUCUCUCCAAAUACUCGUUCUAGAUCGGGGAAGACCAAUAAUUUGCAAGUUGAUUUUCACUGCAGAAGAAACUCUGUUGUCCUGUUAUGUUUUUGUAUGUUGAAUAACCUUAUGAAAUAAAUUCAUCAUGGUGAUUGGGAAACAUUAUUCUACCACGAAUACCUAACAUAGUUUCUGUGUCUGAGUGUUGGAUAUGUCUGAUUCCUUACACCCUGUUUUUGGAGCAGAAAGCUGAAAAAAUAUGUAACUGUGUUUCUUUUUAACUAGUCGUAGCACUGUUGGAGUGCCUGAAAAGAAUUGUAAGCUGGAGCUGAUUUAUGGAGGGAAUUUCAAGAUAACAUUGCUAGUAUAUGGAAUUGUGCUUGGUCUUUUGAGGGAAUAAACUGUGUUAGCAGUUGUACUUGAUCCCUUUAGGGUGUAAAAUAAUAUACUAAUCUCAGCUAGUCUUUCUUUCUUUACCGAUUCUUGCUUUUCAUUUCCUUCAGGCUGGUCAUUUGGUCUACUGGGAGAUGCUUUGGUGACCGUUUGGUGCAUUAUCUUUAGUAAAUUUCAUUACUCCUAAUGCUGUAGAUCAAUGGGAAGCUUAAUCAUUACUGAAAAAUGUUGAGAAUUGCAUGUGCAUCAAGCUAUCUUCUCCUGUGACCUGGCCCUUUGUUUGAUCGUUGGUUUAGCUUAUUGUAGUCCAGUUUUAUCUGACCUGAUUUCCUUUGCUCCAGAAAAUGUAUUGUGGUGCGUAUGAUGCUUAAUAGAUUCUCUACUUAUGCAGUUUGUUCGAACAGAGAUGACCUUAAAGAUGGAUUCUGACUUCGUAGACUUGAUGGGGGGCUUUUUACCUAUGGAAAUGGUGGUGAAAGGUACAUUGAUAUACAGUCUUCUCCACGUGCUUUACAUCUUAUCGGACUUAUAAAUCAAAAUGAAUGAAAAUGACAUAGCUUUUGUAUGAUCGACACAAAUUCACUCUCUUACUGCAAUCAAAUUUUAUGAGCAUGAGUCGUUUGCUCUGGACUUUGGAGCAUUUAAAAUUUUCUGUAUUAGGAUUUAGAUAUACUAUAGAGAUGCAUACUGGUACAACUACAAAAUUUGUAGAAAAAUUUAAAGAACUGCCAUACAUGAUUAGUGAGGGACUCAUUGGAUCCUGCUCCAAAAAUGUGCUAUCAUAUGUAGAAGGGAUCGCUUCUGAUGGCUAGUCCACUUACACUUUCCAGGAGCUUUUGAACUUAUUACUGAUGAAAGCAAAGGUGGUUCAUGUCUAUGGAUCACAAAGCGCAAUGGCAUGCAAUAUUGGCCCAGUGCAGCAGAAGAGGCAAAAUACCGAGUGAAAUCCUCAAGUUCCACAAGAAGAUUAUUGUACAAAGGACCAGUGAAUUUGCAACUUCCUAAGAAUUUUGAGAAAAUGUGAGUGAAGAUAAUUUGGGGCUACUGUAUGUGUGUACAUAAUUGAACUGUUCAACCAGAGUAGUGUUUAGCUUCUUAUAGCGUAAACCUGGACUGCUUAGGUAUUCCGUAGGUACUCCAUCAGCUACAAUACAUCAUUGCUCUUGUAUAAGUGGAAUGACAAAUUGCCAUGAUGAGUUUAGGCUUGAUGGUCUUCCAUCUCUAUGAGGCUUCUAGACAAACUUCUUUCACAGUUUGACCAUGUUAUGUCAUUUUAUAUCGUAACAGCUUUUCAUUUCCUGGUUCGAUUACCAGGGUAAUGGGUACAGCUUGAACCAUAUCUUUGCUAAGAAUGAUUUCAUUCCCAUCCUCUAUUUAUCUUGUUUUACUUUAAACAUGCACAAAAGAGGAAGUCAGCUUUUGCAGAGUAGAUCUGUGUAUUAAUUUUCAAUGUGGACGUGAACAGUGGACUAAAGUAAUUGUAAGCAAUGACUUACUGCACUUUAAUGGGCUUGACAUUUAUAUCACUGCAAUAGCCGUAUCAAUGCAAUUAUUAAUUGGUCAAAAAAUGAGUAUGCUUUAGAAUCAUCCAUUGAUGGUUUUCCGCUUCUAUAUGUUUGGAUUAAUAGGUGUCAGAGCACCCUCCUUAAGCUGUUAUACUGGUUAUGUUGAUCCUUGAGUUCCAAUUUUCUUUAGUGGAUUUUAGAUUUUUAGUUAAUAACAUGUUUUAUUAUCUGGUAUUCUUAUUGAAUCCUGAAGGGAAUUUUUUCUUAAGCUUCUCUUCCUGAGGAACAAAGUACUUACAACUUAGAAAUUUUGUUUGGGAAUAUAAGCAUUUUAUCAAUUGGAAGAUCUAUUGAUGUAUUUUAAAUUUUUGUAUUCAGCGUGGUUCACACCUUGACUCACAAUUUCCGUGAUGCUACCCGGAUUAUUCGAACGCCUUUGAGGUUGCUGAUUGAACCACAGCAUGUCCUUGUGAAAAUCGUAUAUGCUGGAGUAAAUGCAAGUGAUGUAAGUUCAAGGCUUCUUUUAAGAAUAUUAGCUUUUUCUCAUCCUUUAUGAUUGGUAUUCUUUCAAUUUCAGGUAAAUCUUUCUCAUCCUCUUCACAUAUGCAUAGCUCUGUGUCAGCUGAUCCAUUUGUAAAACUAUGCUUAAAACUUCACCUCGAAAUUUAGCUUUUCUAUUUGUUACUGUAGCAAACAUCAAAAAGCAAAUUGGAUCUUUGGAAUGUGGCUUAUAUACAAUUGAUAGGACUAUCCCUUAAUACAAGCCAACUAAGUUAUCCUUUAACCAGCCUAUGAGUCGAUAGAUGACUGAUAACUCGGCACCAAAGUUAGUGUUCCAAUUUCUUGAGAUGCUUGCUGGUAUAACUGGUUUUUUCUUUUACUAAGAAUCUUUUUUCCCCUUCAACUUCAGAAGUUUGUUAUGUAUUUGAAGGUUUUCACUCAGGAUUCAGCUUGCAUGUCAAAAUCUAUACAGAAUCCAUGUGUAUUUCUGAUGCUAGCGCGUUUCUUGUGCAGUAUUUAAUAGAGAGAAUUUAUUAAAACUCCAGAGAUAAUCAUUUGACAGGCCCCAGACUGCUAGAUCUGUGUGACUGUUAGAUAUUAGGAGCGAUUGUGAAUACUUGAUAUAGAGUCAGCAUUCUAGCUUUUUUAAUAAAAAACAAUCAUGCUUUAAACAGGUGAAUUUCAGCUCGGGACGUUAUUUCCAAGGUGGAAAGGGAGAUGUUGGGUCCCAUCUUCCUUUUGAUGCUGGCUUUGAGGUCUGGGAAAAAUCUAUUUCUGUUGUCGCAUUUUGCAAUAUCCAAUAAUGCUGAUUUUCUUGGCAUAGUUUUGUGGUUCCUCUAGCAGCACCAUAUAUUUGUUAUACUCAUAAUGGUAUCUUCAUUAUGGACAUGGCAGGCUGUGGGGAUAAUCGCUGCAGUUGGUGAUUCUGUCAAGGAUUUGAAAGUUGGCAUGCCUGCUGCACUGAUGACUUUUGGAAGCUAUGCAGAAUUUACAAUGGUAAAAUUAUANNNNNNNNNNNNNNNNNNNNNNNNNNNNNNNNNNNNNNNNNNNNNNNNNNNNNNNNNNNNNNNNNNNNNNNNNNNNNNNNNNNNNNNNNNNNNNNNNNNNUUUUUACAUAAUUCAAUGAUGAUGUCCAACAAUUAGUCUAUUGAUAAGGUAACUUGCUAAAGUGAAAGGUGCUGAAGAAGACGCCAUGAAUUAGGGAGUCGUUAAGUAAGGAUAGUUGAAAAUAAAAUUUUGAAGAACACCCUGCAGUCACGUCUAACUCUUAGAGGUCCACUUAACUGGCUUUCUAUCUACAUGCUUGCCAAGCUUGCUUGUAUACUUGAAUGUUACUCCUAAUCUUUUCUUUAAUAGGUGUAUGAUCUUGUCAUGAUCAGGUAAUGUGAUGUGUCUAAUCAUAAUACGGUAUCUAUAGGGGUUUGCUUAUUUACCCUUCUGUCCCGAGUAGUCAAGAACAAUAAAAAUUAUACCCUCCUGCAAAUUUAGGCGAUUGUUAUCCAGACUUCUGGCUAUCUAGUUGUCUAAUUUUCCAUUGUUGAUUUUUCCAGUUGUAGACUUAGAAGAAUUAAGAAGUUACCUUAAGUUGCUUUUGCAUAUUUGCAUGUAGCCUUGUGUCCUUGCAUUCAUGAUUCCAGCCUUGUGUCCUUGCAUUCAUGAUUCCACGUGUUUGCUAAAAGGGAAGAAUUACACUGCAGCUUGCUGAUAUUAUUGUUUCUGAUAUGUUAGCUUUCUUCUGGAAGAGAAGAAUCUCUUCUUUCUUAGACACAACAUUGCAUGUGCUUAACUAUGUUCCUCAACUGCUCACAUAAUUAUACACUACUAAGAGUCACUUUGUCUAUCGUGACCAUUUCAGCUUGCAAAAGUUGCUGGAAAUACAGUAGUAGCAACCUGUGGAGGGAGGGAGAAGGCCAUGCUUUUGAAAGAUUUGGGAGUUGAUCGUGUGAUAGAUUAUAAAGCUGAAGACAUCAAAACUGUAUGUCUCCUAAAAAUCUGUCUCAUCUGUUCAACUCUCCUUUUUGCACACAAUAUAGGGGUUGAGAAAUCAAGGACCCUGAUUCAUUCAAGUAGUGUAGCAAAUUAUUUCUAGAUAAGUUCACUGUCACACACGUCUCAGUAGAUACUAAUAUUGAUUAGGUAAAAGUAAAUGAGCAUAUUCAUCCACAUAUGCACAGAUACUAUCAUAUCUACUCGUGCAAAAUUAACGUGUACAUGAAACCCUGGAAAUUCUCUUUACCUUCAAUAUUCAUUUUAUUUUUGAAAUGCAGUGCUACUCCAUGAUCCUCCAUGCGAAUCCUUUUUGAUAUGGAUCUACUUGGCUGGAUUUGUAAUCGAUUCCUAUCACCUAUUCAAUGUCUGAAGAAUAAAUUUAGCCUUUUGUCAAAAAGUCGUCUUUGGCCCUCCAUUGGGCUCUGGCGUCUGAAUGCCACUGACAUUCUCUGCAUUUUCAUGUUACAAUUUUCCUAUCCUUAAAAGAGGUGCAGAAGAUAAAAAGGUGAUGGUGUUAUGGAACCUUGUUUUUUCUCAUAUGGGAAUCUCUGAAGUGAACAACAGUGUGCCUUAGUAACUGGUUUACUCUUUGACAUUUUUUGUAUUUUCAUACCAUGUCUCAUAUAGCUAGCUGCAGCCUUCCCUUGUUCAUGAACUUUAUGCAGUUUAAUUACUAUUUUCUAUAUUGUAACGAUUCUUGUAGGAUUAUGUUUGGAGUCUAGACCGGUUUCUGCAUUUUUCUCUCCUUUUGGGUUUAGUUUUUUUGUGAAAUUUCAUUUAAAAUGAAUUCAUUUAUCAUGAUUUACAAGAUAAUGCAUGAUACUCAAAUAAAAUUUUAUGUAAUGAGCUUUUUCUCUAUCUUUUCCAAAUUUACAGGUUUUGAAGAAGGAAUUUCCAAAAGGUGUUGACAUAGCUUAUGAGUCUGUUGGUGGGGAAAUGUUUGAUCUUUGCUUGAAUGCUUUGGCCAUAUUUGGACGAUUGAUUGUAAUUGGCAUGAUUUCUCAGGUAUUGCAUCCUUAUGUUGUUGACAUCCAUCUGGACCCGAUCUUUUAUCAUGAGUUUCCAGCAGUUCCAAUGUGAAACUUAGUUAUCUCGAUUAGGCUGUGCGGGAGCUUUUACAUUCUUGCUCUCACUUUCAGUGAGAUACCAAUGAAAGGAAAGUUAGGUUUCUGAAGUUUUUGUAUGAGUCUUGUGGUCGUAAUGCAUGGUAGAAGUUCUACUGCAAUCACAUUUCUGUGCUACAGAGGGUCGCAAGACAGACAUGAAGAUGUUUUGCUUUGUAUAAUGGGGAAUAUUGGUUAGAGAUGCUAGGGAAAUAAAGAAGACUGUGCAUGGAGUCUUUGUAGCAAGUGCUACAUGUUUUCUAUCAACAUGCAUGUAUGUUUUUUCUCCAGUGUCUCCUGUAGUUGCGGUCUGUUCCCUUGGUAUGCAUACUGUUCUAACAUUCUUCUUGCUUGAGUAUUAACUAUUGACAGUUGUACAUAAUUUUUAACCGGUACAAAAUUACUACUUUGAUUGUAGUAUCAAGGAGAGCAUGGAUGGACACCAAAUAAGUACCCUGGACUUUGCGAGAAACUUCUGUCUAAAAGCCAAACUGUGGUAUGUUUGAUAACACUACUGCGUAAAGGACAGUGAUUGUACUCUACUGCGAUAAUUUUGCUCUUGGUGAUGCGCCAACUAUAUAUCAGGAAUAAGCAUGGACUGUGAAUUCUAUAGUUGUUUAUGCCUUUCUCCCCUUGAAGUGUAUGAUAUGAUAUUGACAAUGUUGGCAGGCUGGUUUUUUCCUGGUACAAUAUAGUCACUUCUGGCAAGAACACCUAGAUAGACUGUUUCAACUCUAUUCCAGAGGACAACUCAAGGUACUGCUCUUCUUCUUUUUUUAACUUUUCUUUUACUGGUGAGACCUGACUCUUCCAUCAUAGAUCAUGCUGAACUUACAUUUCAUUAAUUGUAGAUAUCUGUGCCUUUUGCACAAUGCAAGGCCCUUACUUUCCUGUUAUCUUAUUCCUUCAGCCUUAUUUUUAUUUUAUUUUUAUUUUUUUGGUCAAUAAUGAUCUCUGUGCCUAAGUCGCUAUCGCUGCCGAAUUUCAAAGUCCACCAAGACUUGAUCUUCUAACUGUAUGCAGGUGGCCAUUGACUCAAAAAGAUUUGUGGGUCUUAAUGCUGUGGCAGAUGCUGUUGAGCAUCUUCAUUCUGGUAAAAGUAUUGGGAAGGUAUGUUCAUUGUCCACGAACUUUAUGGAUAUUUCGGGCACAUCAUUUGCAAAUUUCAUGGCGUUGUUUUUUUUUUCCUGAUGCACAACAAAUUUUGAGAAUAUGAACAAAAUCUUAUUCUAGGUGGUGGUUCGCAUGGAUCCAACUUUCACUGAUCAAGUAGCAAGACUGUGAAGUCUGAUCAAGGCUGUUUCAUUGUUUCGUUAAUAACUGUCAAAGUGCAUUACAAAGGGAUCUGUUUGAAAUAAUGACCCAGAGUGCAUAUCCUUCCAAGCGAUUAUUAGGGAACUGCAGUAAGAGACCUCCUCGAGAAAAUGAAUGUAAUCUUCAGUAGAAAAAACCAAAAGACUACAAAGGAAUUGAAGUGAUAAAUAUGAAUUCCCCAUGGCUUUUUGCCAGGCGACAAAAGCUAGUAAGACCCCGUUAGAUAUUCUGACAACCCUUUUGUGGUCAUUCUCAUAAACAGAACCGUCGCACAAAUGAUUACAAUGUAAGGAAACAUCAUUUUUGAUGUAAACAGAUCGGUUGAAGUGUCCCAUUCAACACCCUGUUUUUUGUUCAGCUGGGCGUUAAUGACGUGGUAGAUCACUGUUUGAUUCUUUUUCCUACAUAAUGCUUUUGGUGUUCAAAAAGCUAGUGAUGUUAAUAACCCCCACCGCCUGAUUAACCGCAAAAUAACUUAGAAUGUUUCAGACACAAUGAAAGAUGCGUCUUGUACAACUUUGAUGGUGCAAAACACAAGCAUGUUGCUGUUAAUUUCAGAUAGAAUACUACUGAUACAUACUGCUCCCAUGACAAUCAAUGCCCGAGCGCAUACCAGGAACGCGUUGCACUCCUGUUCACUUUCUACCUGUUAAAACAUCAAAGUAAUUACAUUCCUGUGACUGGAAGAGCGCAUUGUACGUGUAUUGAGGAUGGGAGGCAUUCGCAAUUACACACAGCAUGUUAUUGAUCAAGUCAUUACCUCAUUGAAGCCAAGAGGGAUGAUAAACUCUGCAGUUUUGUUCACUUUUGGAUGAACAGAAUGUUCCACAACUUUCAUCUAUGGCGAUGUUUUAGCAUAUUAUCUUGUGCAGAUAUAUCUAUGUUAUAUUUAAUUAUAUGUUGACGCUAGAUUUAAGCUUUUCAUGCCUAGUUAAACAAGACCAGUAUACUAACUACGUAAGUUAUAAUCUAUCUAUUGUUUGGUUGAUCGCAAUAAUAAAGUCGGAUAUAUUCACAUAAUACUUUUUUUCUAGUAUAGACAAUACAUCAAUGUAAAUGAAUCUAAAAAGUCACAAACACAAAUAGUAAAAAUAACUUGCAAACUAUUACCCAAUAUAAUUUUCCUUGCUUAUUUUAUUUUAUUUUCCUCUUUUUUUAAUUUUUUUAAUUUUUAUUUCUUUUUACCCCUUCCAUCUUUCUCUAAUAAAAUUUUAUUAAAUAGAAAACUGUACUAAUAUAUCUAAAAUACACAAAUAUCUCAAAUUUGUAAUAAAUAUAAAUAGAUAUACAUAUAUAUUUAUAUUCAUAUAUUGAAUUUAUAUUAUAAGAUAGAAUUAAAGUCAAAUAUAUCAAUAAUACUAAGAUUAAAUUAAAAAACUAAAUUUCAUUUUUUUUAUAUUUUGAAUUUCUUAUAUUAUAGUUCAAAUAUUAUUUAUAUUGAAGUAUAAUUUCAAUUUUAUUAAUUUAACAAGUUUAUUAUUCGAAAAAAGUAACUUUCCUAUUAUAUAUAUUAAAAAUCCUAUCAAUCUUUAUCCCACCUCUUUAUGGAAUAAUUUUAUUUGACCUAUAUCUUUUUUAUCAUGUGUUGAGUAGACACAAAACGCUGGAUAAGAUAAAUUUCAUCUUAUCCUGAAUUUUAUCCUAACCGCUAAAUGUAGUCUUAGGAUAUAUAGGAAUUGCUCUUGGUAAUCUCACUCCAGUAGAUACGUCUGCUUUGCUGAUGGUAAAACUUGUAACUAAAAGUGAUCUAUAGAAAAUUAGACGCACACUUGCUGUACUGAAAAUUGUUUAGCAUCAAUCUGUCACUCUCUAUAGCAUGCUUCAUAAAUCGUCACGUUCUUUAUAUUUCUUUUAACCCUCUUGUCGGAAGCAAUUGAUGGAACAAAAGCAAUCCAAUUUUUAAGGAGUCAGAAAGAACAGUGUAUUCUUACUUGCUCGAAUCCGUUUGGCGCUUCUUGUUAAGUAUUUGACAUCUGCUUCCCUUUUCUCCUCCUUCCGGACUUCCGCUUCCUUCUUCUCCUUUCCACGGUCUUCUGCUUCCUCCUCGUCCUCCCCUUCAGCGACUUCCGCUUCCUUCUCCUCUGAUUCAUAGGCUCUGACGUUGUGUACCUGCCGAAAGGCAAGCACUAAUUUGUAGUAAAGCCAGCAUAAAAGCUGAGGUGCUAAUCUAAGUACUUCAAGAUGGAUGGUCAAAAUGCCCGGCAAACGGCGAGCUGAGUGGUCACUAUCUGCGAUUCAUCCGUGCAUGCCCGGGGGUUCAGAAGACUUACCUUAAACGUCAAAGGCUGGAUCAGUUGAAACACCAGAGCAUCUCCGUCGACAAGAUCAUGAGCAAUGGAGAAACCUCUCCACCCGCCACUAAGGCCAUUCUUGUCAAUGAGAUACUUCGUCUAGAACUCUUCUCCAUCCUCGUCCACGAGAGUCACAGUGUCAUCCCGGUGAGGGAUAUGCUUGUGGCAGAAGUUAUAUGGAAGGCUCUUGAAAACGGGGGAGACAAAUCAUCCAUUAGAAGCUCUGAUAAAUAGCUCUACCAGCUUCUUGUAGAGACUAUUAGCCAGUUUUUAUGCAAAGUCAGCUGCACGGAGGCCUACCCGAAAUUUCGAAGGCUGUGCCCUCUUUCUAAUUACAAGUCAUUAUCGCAUUUUACUACACAUCAAAGGUAAGGGGGGUCUCUCGCUACUACAAACGUAAAGCAGCUCUAUCAAGACUGCAUUCACUACAAAAAAACAGCCGAGGAACAGAAAUGGAUCAAUUACAGCACAUCUCCUGCUGCUUCAAAGCGGUAAGAGCUAGUGUUUAUUGAACUCUUCCAAUACUAUAUUCAUAACCAAGAAUCAUUCAAAAUCUUCUUUCCUUCAGACAAACCACAGGUAACUAUUUCAGGAAAAAGCUGCCAAAAAUCCUAAAUUAUGUCCACUUUAACGCAUUCACCCCAAACUAACACAAAAAGCCCAAAACUUGUUCUCAUGUGAUAUAUUUAUUCUAAACUUAUAUCAAUAUGAUGUAUUUACCCAAAAAAAAGAAAAAAAAAAGUUCUUGUGACACCAAAAACCAGUUUAGAGUUUAUGGUGUCACCAAAAUAAUUGGAGGUAAAUGUGUUACACGGAUACAGAUUUAGAAUUGUUUGUUAUGCAUGCUAAUACAAUGAAAUUGCACGUUGUUAUGAGAUUUGCAUGUUGUUAGAUAAUGCACGUUACUAUUGAAAUAGAUUUUGGGAUUUGGGAUUGUCCCUGAUGUUUUGCUCUUUCAAUUUUAUACACGGAUUAUUUUGAAAUCGCUAAGGUUUGACAAUUGGCUAGAGUAAGAAGGAAGGGGAGAGAAAAGAAAAGGAGAGACAAGAAAAUAGGGAAAAAGAAAAGAAUAAAAAAAACAAAUAAAUAGAGGAAUAUUAUUUAAUAUUGUCCAAAUCAGCAUUGGUUGCACCAUAUAGAAUGAUUGUCAUUGAAUUGGGAUAAAUGCAAAAAAAAUUGGACUCAAUUGAUAGAAAAAAAAAAAGUUUAAGACUGAUCGGUAUAGUUACAAUAUGUUUAUGACUUUUUUGAUAAUUUUCCUCUAUUUACAUGUUGGCCGAAUGCGUUCUCACUGUCUUGAUAUAUAUUAGGUGUUUUUGUUUGUCUGCAUGUUGGGAUUGGAUUCCUCAUUGAACUUAAAAUAUGCAGGAGGUGUAUAUCUUGUGCAUGCUAUCUAAGACUAGAUCCGUCUUGCUUUGCUUGAAAGGUAAAUUAGAAUGUCUGAUUGAUAUGGAUUUGAUUCAUCCAUUAGACUUUGCCUUGACUGCAUUGCAUUCGGAAAUGACAACAAUCACACACAGCAUGACGGAGUGGAGUCGUCGCUUGCUCGGUCCAUGAUGCGGCUAUUUCACUUGAGGGCACGCGACGUAAUUUUUAUUUUAUUUUUUUGACUGUCAGAUUCUGCAAGUAAAUGACAGGGUUACAAAGAAAUAAAUCACAUCAAACCCUACAAAAUCGUUGCAAAUUGAUUGUGGUCCUAAUUUCCAUCAAGCCACCCCAAAAAAAAAAAAAAAAGACUUGGAAUAUUCCAAAACCAUCGAAUCCCCAACACGUGACCCCCCACUCCCUUGGCAUUCUCCUCGUUAAUUGGGCCGUCCUGAUCAGAUUCUCUUUCACUGAUUCGGCUGGUUUGUUUAUUUUCAGGUGCGAACAGGAGCAUGCUAUGCUCCGUGUGGGGGCUAUAUAAAGCCGUGGGCCAUGACGUGUCGGCGAUUGCGAACCGCCGGAGACAAUUUUAAAGUCAAAACCUCGCCGCCGGCCCUCGCCUCCGGCCGGAGCACGAACGAACGAGUGACGACGAAAAGGAAAAGAUCCGCUGUCUCGCUCUUUCUUUCUUUCUCAUCCUUCUCAGGCCAAACAACACCCAAUGGGCCCCACCGUAACCCAUAAAAUAUUUAGUGAUUCCAAAGCGACACGUCAAUUGCUAACGUGGCACGCUUUUUUAUUUAUAUCCAAUAAUAGAGUGACACGUGUUGGAUGAGAUGGAAUAAAAAAUGAAAAUCUUUUCUUUUUCAACUUCCCGCACCACCCACUCUUCUCCUCUCCUCUCCUCUGCAAAUCGUUUCUCAGCCAUGGAUGGAUGACCUAUAUAGCAUGGACACUCUCCGGAAACUUUCGUAUCGUGUCCGACACUCCGACACGUAUCCGACACGCUUCGAUACACGGUCAACAAGUAUCAAAAAAUCCAACACGUGAUCAACUCUCUCCGACAUGCUCCGACACACGAGUCCAGAAUUUCGACACGCGAUUCCGACACGUAUAGGGUCAAUUUUAAAAAUUUCUAAUACUUGAGAAGUUAAAAUAUAAAUAUACACAAAAGAAAUAAUAAAAUUGCUAUAAAUAUACAUGCACGGGUCAAUUUUUAUUUUUUUUAAGUUUUGGCUUUUAUAAUUGUUUUAGUUUUUCUAAAAGUAUUUUAUUAUAAAAGAAGUAAUAAAAAAAUGCUAUAUAUGAUAAAUAAAUAAAUUUAAAAAUAUUAUUUCAACAUUUUUCUUUAAACAAUGUUUUUUCAUGUAUUAUUGUAUUAUUGUGACAAAUUAAAAUAAUGAAUAAUAUUAUUUUUUAUUUUUUAUGUAAAUUAAUUCUAGGUUAUUAUUGUUAUUUAUGUAUUUAUAUAUGAAAAUAUAUUUAAUAUAUAACGUGUCGAAACGUGUCAGAAUUCUCUAUUUUUAAGAAAUCACGUGUCGGUAUGUCGUGUCGUGUCGUGUCGCAUGUCCGUGUUGAUGCUAGUAAAUGACACGGCCUCCUCCUCCUUCCGGCCACCGCCUGCCCAGCCACUUGAGAAUCCGGUGCGGCCGUCUCCACCGAGCAAGCCAGAGGGGACUUGGAACAGUUCAUGGAGUCUCUCUCUCCCUCUGGUGUCUCCCGUUGUCCUCCCUUCAAGUUCCCUUCCGUGAAGCCCAGCCAUGACAGAUCUGGAGCCAUGGCAGGAUCUAGAUCUGGAACCGCGGAGCCAUGGCCGCGUUCUCGACAGACCUUGAAGCCAGAUCCGUCGCGGUUAUGGCUUCACAGACGAGGCCGGCCCUCGCCGGAUCUGGGCGAGGGAUGGCCUCGUCAAGACUUGUUCCAUCAUUUUUGAAGGCUCAGCCAUGAUGGCUCGACCGAGAUCUGGAGAAGGUUUAGCGCUCAGCUUUUCCGAAGCUCAGUGAUGACUGGAGGAGGGAGUCGCCGAGAUCUAAAGGUUGGCCAGGUCUGUUGCGGCCAAGUGACACCGGAAGGGGCGGAGAUGGUGGCCGCACGGGUGUCCUCUGUCAGGGAGGAAGAUGAAGAGAGAGAAAAAAGAUUUUUUUUCCCACCUUAUCCAACACGUUUCGAUCUAUUAUUGGAUAUAAAUAAAAAGCGCGCCACGUCGGCAAUUGACGUGGCGCUUUUUGGAACCACUGAAUAUUUUCUGGUCCGACGACAAAUCGUCAGCGACGGGUACGUUUCUCAUUUCACUAUGACUUCCUUCUUCUCCUUCUUCGAAACAUCGUCGGACGCCGGCAGUACCGCGCGCGCGACCACCCAUGGAGCUCAAGCCCGGCCUUUCCGCUCUCGUCACCGGCGGAGCUUCCGGCAUCGGUAAAAACCUCUCUUCUCCCCCGCUCGUCUCGCCUUCGUCGCCGCCGCCGCCGGCUAUUCACGGCGAUCGGUCUCGUCCGACUAUCGACUCCCGAGCUUUCGUCUUCCUUCCGUGUCCGUUGGAUUCUGAUGUUGCUGCCGCCGUCGUCGUCAUGAUCGACGUGUCUUGACCUCGUCGCGAGCUUACGUGUUGAGUAGUGAUGAUUGGAUUUUGGCUUUGGCUUUGGAUGGUGUUCUUCAGGUAAGGCUCUGGCGAUAGCGCUCGCGGAGAAGGGGAUAUUCGUGACGGUGGUCGACUUCUCGGAAGACAGGGGAAAGGAGGUGGCCUCCCUCGUCGAGAAAGCGAAUUCCAAGUUCCACUCCAGCUUGGGAUUUCCCUCCUCCAUCUUCGUGAAAUGCGACGUCUCCAACUCGAGUGAGUUUGCCUCGUUGUCUCGAGCUUUUCGGGAUUCGCGGGUUUACGGAGAUCGUGGUGAUGGAUGUUGUCUUGUUUGGUGAGCAGGGGAUGUCGUCAACGCCUUCGAGAAGCACGUCGCGACCUACGGCGGACUGGACAUCUGUAUCAAUUGCGCCGGCAUCACUACCCCGGUGCCCUUCCACAAGGAUCAGACCGACGGGACCCGAUCCUGGCGGCACGCGCUGAACGUGAAUUUGGUCGCCGUCAUUGACUGCACUCGCCUCGCAGUAAGUCCGCAAUUUUUCCGAGCACUUCGCUUGGUGAUGCUGCAGUGACCAAGUCGAGCUUUUUGAUUAUUUGCCUGAGAUUAUCAUCUUGUUUUCUCUCUUUCUUUUGUCUUUCGGUUGGAGGGAGCAAUGACACUUCCGAUUGCUAGUGGAUAUUGCUUUACUGUGAGGAAAGUAGCACAAAAUGAUCUGCACUUCUUAACAGGUUAAGGCCAUGGAAUCUGCUGGGAGACCCGGUGUAAUAAUAAACAUGGGAUCUGCUGCAGGUCUUUAUCCUACGUACGCUGAUCCUAUCUAUUCUGCCUCAAAAGGUUAGUUCUCAGUUAAUGCCUCCUUUCAUUUUUCAAUUUCAAUUCUGUUUCCCCAGCUAUAUAUAUAGAGAGAGACGGAAUUCCUGCACAAGUGUCCCUCUGGUGAUACCACCUUUUUAUUAUUAAGAGACUUUAUAACGUUGCAGGUGGCGUCGUCUUGUUUACCAGAUCCCUUGCACCCUUCAAGCGCCGAGGAAUUCGCGUCAAUGUACUUUGCCCUGAGGUGCUGUAUUAAACUAGAAGGUUUUGUGAUGUGAUGUACUAGUGUAAUCAAAACUCAGGAAGAUUGUUUCUUUUGAUUGCUCAUCUCGUGCUGUUUGAAAGUCGUCAGCACUAGACGUAGGCACUUUUAAUGACAUGAUUAUUCAUCUUCCUUUUUGUUUUUUCCCCUGAAGUGCCUAAUAUUGAGGAUUCAUUUUUCUGCUCUCAAUUCCAGAUUUGUUACGGGGGGAACUAUUGCCUUCAUGAAUUUGAAUCUUGCUCGGAUUUAUCAGAAUUUUCUCCUUUAUUAAUUUUAAUUUCAAGCAGGGGUAUUAUCAUGACCAGAAACUUCUAUGGACCUUAUGGUAUAUGACUCUUCUUCUGAUGUUCGAUAGUGUCAUUAUCUAGAGCUGAUCUCUCCAAAUACUCGUUCUAGAUCGGGAAAGACCAAUAAUUUGCAAGUUGAUCUUCACUGCAGAAGAAACUCUGUUGUCCUGUUAUGUUUUUGUAUGUUGAAUAACCUUAUGAAAUAAAUUCAUCAUGGUGAUUGGGAAACAUUAUUCUACCACGAAUACCUAACAUAGUUUCUGUGUCUGAGUGUUGGAUAUGUCUGAUUCCUUACACCCUGUUUUUGGAGCAGAAAGCUGAAAAAAUAUGUAACUGUGUUUCCUUUUAACUAGUCGUAGCACUGUUGGAGUGCCUGAAAAGAAUUGUAAGCUGGAGCUGAUUUAUGGAGGGAACUUCAAGAUAGCAUUGCUAGUAUAUGGAAUUGUGCUUGGUCUUUUGAGGGAAUAAACUAUGUUAGCAGUUGUACUUGAUCGCUUUAGGGUGUAAAAUAAUAUACUAAUCUCAGCUAGUCUUUCUUUCUUUACCAAUUCUUGCUUUUCAUUUCCUUCAGGCUGGUCAUUUGGCCUACUGGGAGAUGCUUUGGUGACUGUUUGGUGCAUUAUCUUCAGUAAAUUUCAUUACUCCUAAUGCUGUAGAUCAAUGGGAAGCUUAAUCAUUACUGAAAAAUGUUGAGAAUUGCAUGUGCAUCAAGCUAUCUUCUCCUGUGACCUGGCCCUUUGUUUGAUCGUUGGUUUAUCUUAUUGUAGUCCAGUUUUAUCUGACCUGAUUUCCUUUGCUCCAGAAAAUGUAUUGUGGUGCAUAUGAUGCUUAAUAGAUUCACUACUUAUGCAGUUUAUUCGAACAGAGAUGACCUCAAAGAUGGAUUCUGACUUCGUAGACUUGAUGGGGGGCUUUUUACCCAUGGAAAUGGUGGUGAAAGGUACAUCCAUAUACAGUCUUCUCCACAUGCUUUACAUCUUAUCGGACUUAUAAAUCAAAAUGAAUGAAAAUAAAAUGGUUUUUGUAUGAUCAACACAAAUUCACUCUCUUACUGCAAUCAAAUUUUCUGAGCAUGAGUCGUUUGCUCUGGACGUUGGAGCAUUUAAAGUUUCUGUAUUAGGAUUUAGAUAUACUAUAGAGAUGCAUACUGGUACAACUACAGAAUUUGUAGAAAAAUUUAAAGAACUGCCAUACAUGAUUAGUGAGGGACUCAUUGGAUCCUGCUCCAAAAAUGUGCUAUCAUAUGUAGAAGGGAUCACUUCUGAUGGCUAGUCCACUUACACUUUCCAGGAGCUUUCGGACUUAUUACUGAUGAAAGCAAAGGUGGUUCAUGUCUAUGGAUUACAAAGCGCAAUGGCAUGCAAUAUUGGCCCAGUGCAGCAGAAGAGGCAAAAUACCGAGUGAAAUCCUCAAGUUCCACGAGAAGAUUAUUGUACAAAGGACCAGUGAAUUUGCAACUUCCUAAGAAUUUUGAGAAAAUGUAAGUGAAGAUAAUUUGGGGCUACUGUAUGUGUACAUAAUUGAACUGUUCAACCAGAGUAGUGUUUAGCUUCUUAUAGCGUAAACCUGGACUGCUUAGGUAUUAUUCCCUAGGUACUCCAUCAGCUACAGUACGUCAUUGCUCUUGUAUGAGUGCAAUGACAAAUUACCAUGAUGAGUUUAGGCUUGAUGGUCUUCCAUCUCUAUGAGGCUUCUAGACAAACUUCUUUCACAGUUUGACCAUGUUACAUCAUUUUAUAUCAUGACGGCUUUUCUUUUCCUGGUUCGAUUACCAGGGUAAUGGGUACAGCUUGAACCAUAUUUUUGCUAAGCAUGAUUUCAUUCCCAUCCUCUAUUUAUCUUGUUUUACUUUAAACAUGCACAAAAGAGGAAGUCAGCUUUUGCAGAGUAGAUCUGUGUAUCAAUAUUCAAUGUGGACGUGAACAGUGGACUAAAGUAAUUGUAAGCAUUGACUUACUAUACUUUAAUGGGCUUCACAUUUAUAUCACUGCAAUAGCCAUAUCAAUGUAAUUAUUAAUUGGUCAAAAAAUGAGUAUGCUUUAGAAUCAUCCAUUGAUGGUUUUCCGCUUCUAUAUGUUUGGAUUAAUAGGUGUGCACCCUCCAUUAGCUGUUAUACUGGUUAUGUUGAUCCUUGAGUUCCAAUUUUCUUUAGUGGAUAUUAGAUUUUUAGUUAAUAACAUGUUUUAUUAUCUGGUAUUCUUAUUGAAUCCUGAAUGGAAUUUUUUUCUUAAAGCUUCUCUUCCUGAGGAACAAAGUACUUACAACUUAGAAAUUUUGUUUGGGAAUAUAAGCAUUUUAUCAAUUGGAAGAUCUAUUGAUGUAUUUUAAAUUUUUGUAUUCAGCGUGGUUCACACCUUGACUCACAAUUUCCGUGAUGCUACCCGGAUUAUUCGAACGCCUUUGAGGUUGCCGAUUGAACCACAGCAUGUCCUUGUGAAAAUCGUAUAUGCUGGAGUAAAUGCGAGUGAUGUAAGUUCAAGGCUUCUUUUAAGAAUAUUAGCUUUUUCUCAUCCUUUAUGAUUGGUUUCCUUUUAAUUUCAGGUAAAUCUUUCUCAUCCUCUUCUCAUAUGCGUAGCUCUGUGUCGGCUGAUCCAUUUGUAAAAUAUUGCUUAAAACUUCAACUCGAACUUUAGCUUUUCUAUUUGUUACUGUAGCAAAGUGGAUCUUUGUAAUGUGGCUUAUAUACAAUUGAUAGGACUAUUCCUUAAUACAAGCCAACUAAGUUAUCCUUUAACCAGCCUAUGAGUCAAUAGAUGACUGAUAACUCGGCACCAAAGUUAGUGUUCCAAUUUCUUGAGAUGCUUGCUGGUAUAACUGGUUUUUUCUUUUACGUGGAAUCUUUUUUUCCCUUCAACUUCAGAAGUUUGUUAUGAAUUUGAAGGUUUUCACUCAGGGUUCAGCUUGCAUGUCAAAAUCUAUACAGAAUCCAUGUGUAUUUCUGAUGCUAGCCCGUUUCUUGUGCAGUAUUUAAAGAGACAAUUUAUUAAAACUCCAGAGAUAAUCAUUUAGUAAUCGCUCAUUAGCUAAUCUUUAUUAUCACUAUUUGACAGGCCCCAGACUGUUAGAUCUGUGUGACUGUUAGAUAUUAGGAGCGAUUGUGAAUACUUGAUAUAGAGUCGGUAUUCUAGCUUUUCUAAUAAAAAAAUCAUGCUUUAAACAGGUGAAUUUCAGCUCGGGACGUUAUUUCCAAGGUGGAAAGGGAGAUGUUGGGUCCCGUCUUCCUUUUGAUGCUGGCUUUGAGGUCUGGGAAAAAUCUAUUUCUGUUGUCGCAUUUUGCAAUAUCCAAUAAUGCUGAUUUUCUUGGCAUAGUUUUGUGGUUCCUCUAGCAGCACCAUAUAUUUGUUAUACUCAUAAUGGUAUCUUCAUGAUUGACAUGGCAGGCUGUGGGGAUAAUUGCUGCAGUUGGUGAUUCUGUCAAGGACUUGAAAGUUGGCAUGCCUGCUGCACUGAUGACUUUUGGAAGCUAUGCAGAAUUUACAAUGGUAAAAUUAUAUUCCAUAGGGAUAUUUUAAUGUCAAUGGCUGGUUUUGACUGUGGUUAAUAUCUUUCAUAGCCUCUCGGUACUGCAAAUUCAUGACAUGGAGAUCCCUGUUUUAUUGUAAUAAAUAUCAUAUCUUUCUCAGGUUCCGGCAAAACACGUCCUUUCGGUGGCCAGGCCAGAUCCAGAAGUGGUUGCCAUGCUUACUUCAGGGCUUACAGCAUCUAUUGCACGAGAAAAGGUCGGGCUUUUAUGCAAUAUAGCAAACUAUGCCUUUUAUUUCCUUUUGCAAUUUUAUUUGCUGGAGCUGUUGCUUUCAGUCAUUUUUCUAGUCUAAGUACAUCGAGAUAAUUACCUUCAGACAUCUGAUCAUGUCUCAUAUGCCAUAUUAAAGUUUGUUUGCUCUUGUUGAAAAUUUAGGCUGGACAAAUGGAAUCUGGCAAAGUAGUUCUUGUUACAGCUGCUGCAGGAGGGACUGGGCAGUUUGCUGUCCAGGUCUGUUUCUCAUUCAGAUUGAUGCUAUUAAAUUAGUAUUAUUAGAUCUAUGACAAUGUGAUUUUGCAACUAUAGUAGGAUUGCAGAGGUCAGUAUUGAGGGAAUGAGAUAUGGCGAUCUCUAUCUGUUGUGUUUUUACAUAAUUUCAAUUGAUCAAUGUCCAACAAUUAGUCUAUUGAUAAGGUAACUUGCUAAAGUGAAAGGUGCUGAAGAAGACGCCAUGAAUUAGGGAGUCGUUAAGUAAGGAUAGUUGGAAAUAAAAAUUUUGAAGAACACCCUGCAGUCACGUCUAACUCUUAGAGGUCCGCUUAACUGGCUUUCUAUCUACAUGCUUGCCAAGCUUGCUUGUCUACUUGAAUGUUACUCCUAAUCUUUUUUUAGUAGGUGUAUGAUCUUGUCAUGAUCUGGUAAUGUGAUGUGUCUAAUCAUAAUACGGUAUCUAUAGGGGUUUGCUUAUUUACCCUUCUGUCCCGAGUAGUCAAGAACAAUAAAAAUUAUACCCUCCUGCAAAUUUAGGCGAUUGUUAUCCAGACUUCUAGCUAUCUAGUUGUCUAAUUUUCCAUUGUUAGAUAUAGAUGUUUCCAGUUGUAGACUUAGAAAAUAAUUAAAAAGUUACCGUAAGUUGCUUUUGCAUAUUUGCAUGUAGCCUUGUGUCCUAGCAUUCAUGAUUCCACUUGUUUGCUAAAAGGGAAGAAUUACACUGCAGCUUGCUGAUAUUAUUAUUUCUGAUAUGUUAGCAUUUUCUUCCGAAAGAGAAGAAUCUCUUCUUUCUUAAACACAACAUUGCAUGUGCUUAACUAUGUUCCUCAACUGCUCACAUAAUUUUACACUACUAAGAGUCACUUUGUCUAUCGUGACUAUUUCAGCUAGCAAAAGUUGCUGGAAAUACAGUAGUAGCAACCUGUGGAGGGAGGGAGAAGGCCAUGCUUUUGAAAGAUUUGGGAGUCGAUCGUGUGAUAGAUUAUAAAGCUGAAAACAUCAAAACUGUAUGUCUCCUAAAAAUCUGUCUCAUCUGUUCAACUCUCCUUUUUGCACACAAUGUGGGGGUUGAGAAAUCAAAGACCCUGAUUCAUUCAAGUAGUGCAGCAAAUUAUUUCUUGAUAAGUUCACUGUCACACACGUCUCAGUAGAUACUUAUAUUGUUUAGGUAAAAGUAAAUGAGCAUAUUCAUCCACAUAUGCACAGAUACUAUCAUAUCUACUCGUGCAAAAUUGACAUGUACAUGAAACCCUGGAAAUUCUCUUUACCUUCAAUGUUCAUUUUACUUUUGAAAUGCAGUGCUACUCCAUGAUCCUCUAUGCGAAUCCUUUUUGAUAUGGAUCUACUUGGCUGGAUUUGUAAUCAAUUCCUAUCACCUAUUCAAUGUCCAAAGAAUAACUUUAGCCUUUUGUGAAAAAGUCGUCUUUGCCCCUCCAUUGGGCUCUGCCGUCUGAAUGCCACUGACAUUAUCUGCAUUUUCAUGUUACAACUUUCCUAUCCUUAAAAGAGGUGCAGAAGAUAAAAAGGUGAUGGUGUCAUAGAACCUUGUUUUUUCUCAUACGGGACACUCUGGAGUGAACAACAGUGUGCCUUAGUAACUGGUUUGCUCUUCGACAUUUUUGUAUAUUUUCAUACCAUGUCUCAAAUAGCUAGCUGCAGCCUUCCCUUGUUCAUGAACUUUAUGCAGUUUAAUUACUAUUUCCUAUAUUGUAACAGUUCUUGUAGGAUUAUGUUUGGAGUCUAGACCGGUUUCUGCAUUUUUCUCUCCUCUCGGGUUUAGUUUUUUUGUGAACUUUCAUUUAAAAUGAACUCAUUUAUCAUGAUUUACAAGAUCAUGCGUGAUACUCAAUUAAAAGUUUAUGUAAUGAGCUUUUUCUCUAUCUUUUCCAAAUUUACAGGUUUUGAAGAAGGAAUUUCCAAAAGGUGUUGACAUAGUUUACGAGUCUGUUGGUGGGGAAAUGUUUGAUCUUUGCUUGAAUGCUUUGGCCAUAUUUGGACGAUUGAUUGUAAUUGGCAUGAUUUCUCAGGUAUUGCCUCCUUAUGUUGUUGACAUCCAUCUGGGCCCGAUCUUUUAUCAUGAGUUUCCAGCAGUUCCAAUGUCAAACUUAGUUAUCUCGAUUAGGCUGUGCAGGAGCUUUUACAUUCUUGCUCUCACUUUCAGUGAGAAACCACUGAAAGGAAAGUUAGGUUUCUGAAGUUUUUGUAUGAGUCUUGUGGUCGUAAUGCAUAGUAGAAGUUCUACUGCAAUCACAUUUCUGUGCUGCAGAGGGUCGCAAGACAGACAUGAAGAUGUUUUGCUUUGUAUAAUGGGGACUAUUGGUUAGAGAUGCUAGGGAAAUAAAGAAGACUGUGCAAGGAGUCUUUGUAGCAAGUGCUACAUGUUUUCUAUCAACAUGCAUGUAUGGUUUUUCUCCAGUGUCUCCUGUAGUUGCGGUCUGUUCCCUCAGUAUGCAUACUGUUCUAGCAUUCUUCUUGCUUGAGUAUUAACUAUUGACAGUUGUACAUAAUUUUUAACCAGUACAAAAUUACUACUUUGAUUGUAGUAUCAAGGAGAGCAUGGAUGGAAACCAAAUAAGUACCCUGGACUUUGCGAGAAACUUCUGUCGAAAAGCCAAACUGUGGUAUGUUUGAUAACACUACUGCAUAAAGGACAGUGAUUGUACUCUACUGCAAUAAUUUUGCUCUUGGUGAUGCGCCAAGUAUAUAUCAGAAUAAUCAUGGACUGUGAACUCUAUAGUUGUUUAUGCCUUUCUCCCCAUGAAGUGUAUGAUAUGAUAUUGACAAUGUUGGCAGGCUGGUUUUUUCCUGGUACAAUAUAGUCACUUCUGGCAAGAACAUCUAGAUAGACUGUUUCAACUCUAUUCCAAAGGACAACUCAAGGUACUGCUCUUCUUCUUUUUUUAACAUUUCUAUUCCAGAGGACAGCAUAGAUCAUGCUGAACUUACAUUUCAUUAAUUGUAGAUAUCUGUGCCUUUUGCACAAUGCAAGGCCCUUGCUUUCCUGUUAUCUUAUUCCUUCAGCCUUAUUUUGAUAUCCAAUUCCCUACCAAAAGUCGCUGCCAAACUAAAUCUCUAGAAUGAGUUGGAUGAUUAUCUCUGCGCCUAAGUCGCUAUCCCGCCAAAUUUCAAAGUUCGCCAAGACUUAAUCUUCUAACUGAGUGCAGGUGGCCAUCGACCCAAAAAGAUUUGUGGGUCUCAAUGCUGUGGCAGAUGCUGUUGAGCAUCUUCAUUCUGGUAAAAGUAUUGGCAAGGUAUGUUCAUUGUCCACGAACUUUAUGGAUAUUUUGGGCAAAUCAUUUGCAAAUUUCAUUACUUUGUUUUUUUAAUUUUCUUGAUGCAUAAUAAAUUCUGUAAAUAUGAACAAAAUCUUAUUCCAGGUGGUGGUCUGCAUAGAUCCAACUUUCACUGAUCAAGUAGCAAGACUGUGAAGUCUGAUCAAGGCUGUUUGAUUGUUUCGUUAAUAACCAUCAAAGUGAAUUGCAAAGGGAUCUGUUUGAAAUAAUGACUCAGAUUGCACAUCCAUCCAAGCGAUUAUUAGGGAACUGCAGUAAGAGACCUCGAGAAAAUGAAUGUCAACCUUCAGCAGAAAAAACCAAAAGGCUACAGAGGAAUCGGAGUGAUAAAUAUGAAUUGCCCAUGGCUUUUUGCCAGGCGACAAAAGCUGUUAAGACACCUUUAGAUAUUCUGACAAUCCUUUUGUGGUCAUUCUCAUAAACAGAACCGUUGCACAAAUGAUUACAAUGUAAGGAAAAAUCAUUUUUUUAUGUAAACAGAUCAGUUGAAGUGUCCCAUUUAACACCCUGUUUUUUGUUCAGCUGGGCAUUAAUGACAUGGUAGAUCACUGUUUGAUUCUUUUUCCUACAUAAUGCUUUUGGUAUUCAAAAAGCUAGUGACGUUAAUUACCCGCACCGCCUGAUUAACUGCAAAAUAACUUAAGAUGUUUCAGACGCAAUGAAAGAUGUGUCUUGUACAACUUUGAUGGUGCAAAAAGCAAGCAUGUUGCUGUUAAUUUUAGAUAGAAUGCUACUGAUACAUACUGCUCCCAUGACAAUCAAUGCCCAAGCACACAACAGGCACGCGUUGCACUCCUGUUCUGUGACUAAUUUAAUUUUUAUGUCUUUUUAUCUGUUUAAAGUUAAAAAGAAGAACAAUGACUUUAACUUUUAUGGAAGGCAUUCACAAUUACACACAGCAUGCUAUUGAUCAAGUCAUUACCUCAUUGAAGCAAAGAGGGAUGAUAAACUCUCUGCAGUUCUGUUCACUUUUGGAUGAACAGAAUGUUCCACAACUUUCAUUUAUCGCGAUGUGUGUAGAUAUAUCUAUUUUAUAUUUAAUUAUAUAGUGAUGCUAGACUUAAGCUUUUUAUGCCUAGUUGAACGAGACUAGUAUUAUAUCUUAUCUAUUGUUUGGUGAAUUGCAGUAAUAAAAUCGGAUAUAUUCACAUUAUAUCAUGUACUUUUUUUUAGUAUAAACAAUACAUCAAUGUCAAUGAAUCUAAAAAUUCACAAACGCAAAUGGUAAAAGCAUCUUGCAAAACUAUUACCUAAUUUACUUUUGUUUGCUUAUUUUAUUUUAUUUUUCAUCUAUUUUUUAAUUAGUUUCUUUUUUAUUUAUUUUUUCCCCUUCCAUCAUUCUCUAAUAAAAUUCUAUUAAAUAGUAAACUUAACUAAUAUAUCAAUACAGAAAUACCUAAAAUGUGUAAUAAAUAUAAAUAGAUAUCUAUAAUCAUAUAUUGAAUUUAUAUCAUAAGAUAUAAUUAAAGUCAAAUAUAUAAAUAAUACUAAGAUUAAAUCCUAUCAAUAUUUAUCCCACCUCUUUACGGGAUAAUUUUAUUCGGCCUAUAUCAUUUUUAUAUCCGAUUUUAUCAUGUGCCGAGUAGACUCAAAACGCUGGAUAGGAUAAAUUUUAUCAUAUCUUGAAUUUUAUCUUGACCGCUAAAUGCUGUACUGAAAAUUGUUUAGCAUCAAUUUGUCACUCUCUAUAGCAUGCUUCAUAAAUCGUCACAUUCUUUAUAUUUCUUUUAACCCUCCUCUCGGAAGCAAUUGAUGCAACAAAAGCAAUCCAAUUUUUAAGGAGUGAGAAAGAAUAGUGUAUUCUUACUUGCUCGAAUCCGUUUGGCGCUUCUUGUUAAGUAUUUGACAUCUGCUUCCCUUUUCUCCUCUUUCCGGACUUCGGCUUCCUUCUCCUUUCCACGGUCUUCUGCUUCCUCCUCCUCCUUUCCACGGUCCUCUGCUUCCUCCUCGUCCUCCCCUUCAGCGACUUCCGCUUCCUUCUCCUCUGAUUCAUAGGCUCUGACGAUGUGUACCUGCCAAAAGGUACGCACUAAUUUGUAGUAAAGCCAGCAUAAAAGCUGAGAUGGAUGGUCAAAAUGCCCUGCAAACGGUGAGCUGAGUGGUCACUAUCUAUGAUUCAUCCAUGCAUGCCCGCCCGGGGGGGGGAGGUGUUCAGAAGACUUACCUUAAACGUCAAUGGCUGGAUCAGUUGAAACACCAGAGCAUCUCCGUCGACAAGAUCAUGAGCAAUGGAGAAACCUCUCCACCCGCCGCUAAGGCCAUUCUUGUCAAUGAGAUACUUCGUCUCGAACUCUUCUCCAUCCUCGUCCACGAGGGUCACGGUGUCAUCCCGGUGAGGGAUAUGCUUGUGGCAGAAGUUAUAUGGAAGGCUCUUGAAAACGAGGGAGACAAAUCAUCCGUUAGAAGCACUGAUAAAUAGCUCUAUCAGGUUCUUGUAGAGACUAUUAGCCAGUUUUUAUGCAAAGUCAGCUGCACGGAGGCCUAUCCGAAAUUUCAAAGCUUGUACCCUUUUUUCUAAUUACAAGUCAUUAUCGCAAUUUACUACACAUCAAAUUUAAGUGGAGUCUCUCGCUACUACAAACUUGAAGCAGAUUAUCAAGACUGCAUUCACUACAAAAAAGUAGCUGAGGAACAGAAAUAGAUCAAUUACAACAUGCCUCAUGCUGCAUCAAAGUGGUUAGAGUUAGUGCAUAUUGAACGCUUCAACUCUUAUAUUCAUAACCAAGAAUCAUUCAAUAUCUUCUUUCCUUCAGACAAAUCACAGAUAACUAUAUCAAGAAAAAGCCACCAAAAGCCACCACUAUGAGACAUUCACCCCAAAAUUUUUUGGUAAUGCAAAAACUCUCAAAUUUGUACCCAUGUGACAUAUUUAUUCCAAACUUAUAUCAUUUGACAUAUUUGCCCCAAACUUUUUUCUUGUUACACCAAAAACCUUAACUUGUAUCCAAAAUGUGUCAUAUGAAUAUGAGUUCAGGGUUUUUAGUGUCACCAAAAUAAUUGGAGGUAAAUGUGUUAUCUAGGUACAAGUUUAAGAUUUUUAGCAUUAUGAAAAAAGUUUGGAAUAAAUAUGUCACAAUGAGCAAUUUAGAGUUUUUGGUGGCUUUUUUUCUAAUUGUAUCAAACCUUGAAGAUACUUAGUUCCACUACUUGACCAAGCAUCAAUUAUGCGAUUUUCUUCUUUUCUCAGAUGAUUCUAAACAAGCGGAUGGAUGAUUAAGAAUUUACUUGGACAUAUAUCCGUAUUAACUCGCCAGAUCAUUUCGUUUCUCAUCCCUCACUCUUUCCAAGUCAAAGCAACGGUCUAACGCAUACUACACAUGCUGCAGGAUUUACAAAUCGCGGCACGAGCAUAGUUGAUACAGCACGACAAUUUCCUGCAUAUUAACGUUUGAAGGAGAGUGCAAAAAGAGAAAGGGUCAAUUUGCUUACUAGCCAAAAGCCUCCUGUGACAUGGGACUGAAGCAUGGGCUUGAUAAAGCUUGGUAACUCUGCAUCUAAGCUGGAUUGAAGUUGCUCUGCUCUCUCAAUGGCAUAUGUCCUUAUCGUAUCAGAAGCAUAUACCCUGUUCAACAGGUCUCUUCGCGAGUAGCUCCUACUAGAAAAUCAGAAACUUUAGAUACUUCACUCAGGAAUACACAAUCGAAUACUGGAAGAAAACCAGUGAGCUCUUGUCACUAACCUCCUCACUCUUUCCGAAGGGUUGAUUUCAAUUACCUGCAAAGGGGACCAUAUGUAAGAGGACCGUACAACAACUUUCAUGGACCCUUCAUCAUACAAACAGAUUAGAAUACCGUGUUCAUGUCUGUACUACUUCAGUUAUCACACUCCCUCAAUCAAAGUUUAGCCUUUCGACCCUUUCAAAUUAAUAAUGUUUCUUCCAAUAAUUAAGCAUUAUUCGAUUUAUGGAACCAGCAGGACCGCCACUCUUGCUGCAAAAAAUUUCAACCAGUCUCUACCACAGUGGCGUUUGAAUACCCGGAUUUAACAGAUGAUUUUAUAAAUCACUGACAAACCAUCUCUAGAAUCCUGUGAACAAUUGGCGCGCUCAUCACAUUCAUCGCAGGAGCUCAAAAGUUGACACCUCUGUAAGCUACAUAGCAGUAGUUGACCUAUAUAAUUUUCCAAAAUGUCGCAAAAGCUACUGUCCGAAACUUCCAACCAUAAGCUGAAAUCUUCACAUUGAACAUAUCAGUUGAAAAUGCAUAUCACGGUGCGCAUCAAAAGAGGCCCUUUUCGUGGGAUGGUUUAACUCCUCCAGCUUAAGCUGAAGAUUGAAUACAAAAGCCGAGAGAGAGAGAGAGAGAUCUUACUUCCUUGUAGUUAGGAGCAGGCUUGUUGGCCGUGCGGCUGGAGCGCCUCACGGGCUCGGAGUAGGUCUCCGGCUGCCUUCGAGGGGUCCGCAUCUUGCUCUGCUUCACCUGCCCACGCAAACAAAAGAGAACCACCCAAAAGCCCACAUGAAGCUACAGAUGUAAAACACCUGCUGAAGCAAUUGCAAAACACACAAACACAGACGAACAGAGAGAGAGAGAGAGAGAGAGAGAGUACUGGGGUGGACUUGGGGGAAGCGGCGGUGAGGGCGGCGGCGAGCUUGUUGAGGCGGAGCUCCUCCAUCCUCCUCUUCUUGUUCUCUUCCAUCCUCUGGCGACGGCACUCCUCGUAGUCCCUCUUCGACCCGACCACCUUCCCCAUUCUUCCCCUUAGGAAACCUCACACUCCAAAACCUCCUCCCGUCGAGGGAAACCAAUGGAAAUGGAGAGCUUGUCUGAGAAGAAGGAGAAGAAGGAGAAGGAGAAGGGGAGAAGGGGAGAGAGAGAGAGUAGAAAUGGCGUUUGGGCGCCCGAACGACAGAGCUGGUGAGGUGUUACUUUUGAACCUUUUUGAGUUCAAAUUGGUCGCUGUCGUUUUUCACUUUCUUUAAUGCCUUUCUUGCCAUCGAAUGAUGGGGAUAAAAGAUGUCAUGGGGACAAAUCUUAAACAAAGAUGUCACCCCUCAAAAUAGGUUAGCGACCGACUUCCUUUUAGAAAUUAGCACUGCUUACACACAUGGGUUUCCCGCUUAAAAUUCAAUUCUAUCUUUGAAAUUGUGUUUAGAGAAAGUUGUAGUAGAAUUUCUCGAUAAACCACUAUAUUAAGUCCAACCAUUGAAGGCGACUAAAUACUUUUUUCUCACUUAAGUUCAACCAAAAAUUACUAAGGCCCCGUUUGAUUCAGCAUUUACGAUGGGUUUUAAAACUCUAAAGUCCUUUGGCCAAAUAUAAACACGUUUGGUUUGUGUUAUUGCGCAACUUUAGAAAAAUACAAUUAUAUCUCUAAAUAGUUCUAAGGGCGUUUAGCCCAAAGCAAGUUUGGAGGUUCUUUUGGAAGUUGCAUUUUCAAAAUGCAAGUCUUGGCCCUUAGUUACUAUUCAUCUUCUUUGAAUCGUCGAAUGGAAAAGUAGAUCAGAGACCAAUGAUCGUCAGCUAAGGGGCCAUGCAUGCUGGCAACCGCCGCCUGGGGGUCACUCGACCCCAACAAUUGCUAGCGGACCUCAGGUGAGCACCUCAGGCAAUACCUAGGUCGUGCAACCCUAGGUAAUUGUUGCUUGAGUCACGCAACCUCAAGCGUCACUGCUUGGGUUUGCGCAACCUCAAGUGAUCAUCGCCUAAAUUGCACGACCUCAAGUGGCGAUGCCUAGGUCGUGUGAACCUAGGUGACAACACCUAAGGUUGCACUACCUAGGCGACUAUCAUCUGGGGUCAUGUAAUCUUAGGUGAGACCUCCAGUGGCCAGAUUUGGCCACUAAUGGUUGAACUCCCAAAAAAAAUCUUUUUUUUUUAAUAAUUUAGUAAAAGUCUUUUGUAGGUGUAACUUUUACUAUAUGGCAUUUAAGUCAAAGUUAGCUACCAAUGCACUUUUAAAUUAUUCACUAAAGAUGCGUUUGGAAAGACUUUUGGUGAAAAUUCUUGAGAAAAUGUAAAGAUCCUUGAGUUAAAUGAGUUUUUCGAAAUGCAAAUUGUGUUUGGUAAAUUGUACUGGUGAAAGUUCAUUAUGAAGUAUCUUUGUGCAAAAUAGUGUUUGGAUAAAUUAAAUUUGUAAAAUGCUUUUAUUAUUAAAAAAAAAAGGGAAAAAAGGAGAGUUGGCCGGCCAAGGGCUUCGCCAGUUACCACCAACGAAGGGUAGGCGGCGCGGUGAAGGGUAGGCUAUUCGGCGAGAGGGAAGCGCUGUGGCGAAUGGCAACGUCCGACUAGGGUCACCGUGCGAAGGACAUGGCGCAGCAACCAGGAUUUCGCGAUUUGGGUCGCCGCAACCCUCGCCGAGCCAUCGUGUGACCCACCGCGCCGCAGAGGUCAUCGGUGCCCACAAUCUGGUCGCCACGACCCAAAUUUGCAUAGAUCUGGGUUGCCGGAGUCCUUCGCGCGGCGACCCUCGUCGAAGGGUUGUGGAACCUUAACCGGACCACUUGUCCUUCGCCGCACCGCUUGCCCUUCGCCAAACCACCUACCCUUCGCCGGCAACCGCGUAGAUGCUGGCCGUGUUCUCAGUAGAGAGAAGGGAAGGACGAAGAUGAUGAAUAGUUGUCGGGGUAAAGCCGGAAAAACAAAAAAUUAAUAAGGACAAUUUCGGAAGAAAAUUUUUAUUACCUUCCAAGCCUUCCAAGCCAGCAUGCCGAGAAUGCCCAAGGCAACCCCCAACCUGCCUUGGGCUUUCAAUCUUGGAAAGACUUUGCCUUUGACAAAGGCAAGUGUAAAAAAAUCGCCAAACACUCAAUUUUUGGCCCAAAGGCCUUUAGCCUCCUAAAAACACUUGGGCAAGCAGUUCCCAAACGGAGCUUAAAUGCUAUUUGCAUUUAAGAAAAUAUCUUUAAUCCAAAAUUUUUGCAUUUUUUUUAAAAAAUAUUCCCCCAAAACUGAACAAAACGAGACCUAAAUACUAUUUUUUGUCACCCUAGGGUAAGCAAGAAAGAGAUGAGAAAAAAAUUUAAGUUUGUCAUCUCAAGUAACACUUACUCGAGCACACUAUGAUUCCAAAGGCAACAAAGUAUUCCAUUGCCUUGGGAUACGUUAAAGGUGACAAAAUUUUAAAAUUUGUACCAUCAGGUCUAACUUGAGGUAACAAAACCAUGAUUUAUGCUAAAGUUUGACCUAAGGUGAUGAAACUCUGUUUGGUCUCCUUUGGGAAACCUACAGCGACAAAAGUAAAUUUGGUUGCCUUCGGUUGGUUUUUUUGUGAUGAUUCUUCAUUCAUUAUUUAAUUUCCUAAAGAACACUAAUAAUGCCGCAACUUUUGGGCUUCUAGGUAUAACUUACCUUGGAGGAAAAGAUCCUAGAGCGAAAACCUUACCUAGAAGGUGAAGUUCUUAUCGGGUAAGGACUUCUUCCAUAGUAUGGCGUGAUUCUCUUUUAGAGCUCUUUGUUAUCUUAUUUGAAAAAAGAGAAAUUGUAUAGUCUUCCAUGAUGAAACAUUAGUCUUAUCGGCUCUAAAAAACUACCUUAUUAAGGUUGUGAAGGACAAAGCACUUUCCUUAAAGAAUGUGCUUGCUUUUCCAAGGAAUAGAAGACUUCAUAGAGGAUGGGGCUUUGACCCCUUAGUGUUUAUCCAGUAAACUUGCUUCUCAAGCUUCUUGAGUUGUGUGACUUUCCCCUAGCCGUCCUGGCUCUCCUGCUCGCCCCGCUUCUUGGUGUGUGUUGAGGUUUGGUAGCCGUUGGUGUUUGACUCUUUUGCCCAAGUUGUGAGCUUUUUUUGCUCCGUGUUUGUUGUUGCCCCUGUGGUGUUUAAUUCGGCUCCCUUCCACUCUUUCUAUUGUUGUAGUUAGAGUGUAAGUUUUGGCGCCGUCUUUUCUGUAUAUUUGUCCACAGUUCAAUAUAUAUUCUUACUUUUACCAAAUAAUAAUAAUAAUAAUAAUAAUAAUAAAUAAUGCCGCAACUUUUGUACAAUGCAAAUUUUGGUGUCAUAAGUUUUCAAUCAAUCAUUUAAGUAUCGUAACUUUUGAAAAUUGAUCAUUCGACUAAUAUCAACCACUUUUGUUUCUGGAAAAUUACAUGUGACAUUAUUUUAAAAUAAAUAAUUGGACAUGUCUUGUCUAAGAUGUCAACACUCAAGAUAUUGAUCAAAGGAAGUUAUUUGGCAAUAGGAAUAUGCUCAAAAUUCAAGAAUUGGGUUGAAUUUACUCCUUAUACCAAACCAUAAAACCUUAAAUCUUCCUUGGGUGCGUUUGGAAAGACUUCUGGGAAAAGUCCUUGAGAAAAUGUAAAGGCCUUUGAGCUAAAAGGGUUUUUGGAAAUGCAAAUUGUGUUUGGUAAAUUGUAUUUGUAAAAGUCCAUUGUAAAGUAUGUUUGAGCAAAAUAGUGUUUGGAAAUAUUAACUGUGUAAAGAACUUUUGUUAUUAAAAAAAAAAGAAAAAAAAAAAGAGAAUUGGCUGGUUACCGCCGGCGAGGGGCAGGUGGUCUGGCGAGAGGCAGGCGGCCGGCGAGGGUCGCCGGGGCCGCUCCAUCUAGUUGCGGCGACCCCGAUCGCGACCAGAUCGUCGUGACCAUAUCGCGCGAUCCCGAUCGCUUAAUUUGGGUCGCCGGAGGUUGCGCGGCCCAGAUCUGGGUUGCGGCGACCUCCGGGGACCCAAAUCUGCACACGAUUUGGGUCGCCAGAGGUCGCGCAGCCCAGAUCUGGGUCGCGAAGACCUCCGGUGACCCAGAUUUGCCGGGCGUCACAGCGUCGCCGGGGUUGCAACGGUCUGCUGCGACCCAGAUCUGGGUGGUUGCCGAGGGUUGUAGCGGUCGUGGCGACGCGACUCACAGGGAGUCACCGAGGUCAUGCGACUGGCCGCUAACGGUCAUUGUGACACACCGGCCUCUUGCCGCCUCUAUCCAGCUCGUCGCCGGCCCCUCACAGCUUGGCGCAACUUCGCCGACCAACCUCAACGAAGAAGAAGGUGAAUAGUUACGAGGACAAAACCGGAAAAACGAAAUGUUAGCGAGGACAUUUAUGGAAAAAAAAAUUAUAUUACUCUCCAUCAGCCUUCCGAGAAGGUUGAAUGCCCAAGGCAGUCCUGGGGGUGCCUUGGGCUUUCAGCCUUGGGAAGGCUUGCCUUUCCCAAAGGCAAGUAAAAAAAAUCUUCCCAAACACUCUUUCCUUGGCCCAAAGGCCUUUAGCCCUCCAAAGGUCCUGGGAAAGUAGUUCCCAAACGUAGCCCUUAAAAGGGGUCUUUUUUUUUUUUUAAUGGGGUCUUUUUACAAAACCUUUUUCUUGAUAUCAUCCCUUCGCAACAGCCACGUCGCAUGAUUUAACAUUAAAUCAAUGCCAUAUAAGAUUUACAGGCAAUGAAACCUUUUUAAAAAGUCACAACACUUAAUUGAUCACUUAGAAAGUCAAGACACCAAAAUGCGAAAGUUAUAACACUACUUGUGUCAUUUUGCCAUUGGACACCAUGAAAUUCAAGUUUAAUUUCAGACCUCAAAAACAAUUAAACAAUCAAGUUUGGGCUAACCUUCGUCUGGUUUUUUAUUUCUUUCCUAAUAAAUAUGAAUUACUUGUAUUCCAUGAUCAUAGGGAUUAGGAUACUUUUGUAGUCUCUAUGACGCUAUCCGUACAAAACAAUUUUUUUGUUGUUAAUAUCUCAAAUUAAUUUUUUUUACUAUCAAAAAUUCAAAAUUAGUACAUUUGUGAUAAUUUUAUCCUCUAUUAAUUUCCAUUAAAUUGAAUUAGCACCACGAAAAAUUAUAAACUAGGACGAAUAGUAAAAUCGUAAAUUGAUACACUGACCAAUUAUUACUUGUUAUCUAAUUCAGUAAUUUAAUAGUAAAAUUUAAUAUAAAUUAAAUGAAAAUAAAUUUGUCAUAUAUAUAUAAAUUUUUGUUUAUUAGUUUGGGGUAAAUUUUUUUAUAAAUAUAUUAAUUCAAAAUUUUUUAUUAUAUUAAUUCUUUUUUUAUGUACUUUUAAUCAUGCAAUCACCCGUUUGCAAUCUCUGGUGGUACUAGAGGACAACCAUGUUUUUGAGAUGAUGUGAUGCAGCAGCACGAACAGUAACUUCAUUGUACGUUGCUGUUAAAGUUGUCAAUCAUUACCCUAAACCGUAAAAUCCUAAACCCUAGUAUCUCUUUGUCCUAGUGAUUGGCCUGAAAACCAGCGAUUCUGAAGAUACUCGAAUCUGAAUAACCUUAUGAUAUCUCAUGUUGGGAAGUGCUCUGUGAUUUUUGAAGGUGAAUAAAUGGUUUCUUAAUUGAGACAGCUAUCAAUCAGUCCCGGGUCUAGAUGAUAUCCGUGCACGAAUAAAACUAGAUGUUGUUCACAAUGGUUCACACCUCAUACCAAGAUAGUAAUGACAAAAUCCUAACAAAUACCAGUGCAUCAAAAUGUGAUGCAACAUAAGAAAUAAAUAUAUUGAGAGCCCUAAAACUUAUAGCAAAAUUGCAAUCGAGACUUAAUAUUUUUAAACUGCAAACAAUUCCUAAAACUUAUCAAGUUAGUAUAAAUAGCAUACUAAGCAAGCAAAACCUGCAAUUAGUCCACACAGGGUACAUAUUGUCUAGAAUGGGUGUUGAACAAUUGCUCAAAGAGCAGUCGCAGAAUUUGUCACCGAGUGAAAAAGGAGUGGAAUUGAAAGUAGACGAAAGAUGUUGAGAAGAAAUUUCUUCUUAAUUGGGAUAGCAUAACCGGUAGAACAUGGCAUCCUUUUCACUCUUUACUGGUGCGGAGAUAAUACCGGUUUUUAUAGAGGAGCAAGCCAACCCUGCAAAUCUUUUGCUCUUGUUAACUUUAGACUCUGCACCCGUUUGGUUGGACUUUCCCAAGGGGCUUUGGGCUUAAAUAUGAGCAUUCCGAAUGCCGAAUGUUGAAAGCUGGAGAGGGGUUGCUUUGGGCAUUGGACAUUUGGGAAAUGUCACCGCGUACUAUUCAUCUUCUCUUCCCCCUUCGUCUUCUUCUUCUUCUUCUUCUUCUUCUUCCCGGCCAUCGGGCUUCUCCGGUAGCCGCCACUUGAGGGUCGCGCAUCCCCAGUGACCACCGCCUGGGGGUGGUCGCGCCUCCAGGCGGCGAUGGCAUCACUUGAGGUCGCACAACUUGGGUCCACGCGACUUUAGGUCGCCAGAUUUGACGGUUCGAAGGCCAGAUCUAGCCUUUGCGCCUCUAGGCGCCUAAGGUUGCACCUCCAGGCGCCUAAGGUUGCACCUCCAGGCGGCGACGGCGUCGCCUAAGGUUGUGAUCUCAAGCGGCCAGAUCUGGCCAUCCAGCACUGCUAGCCGCCGGAUUUGAUUUUUAGAUUUAAAAAAAAAAAGAAAUAAAAGCAAAAGUCCAUUUGUAAUGUAAGUUUUGCCAAAUGGUAUUUUGCUAGGGUUGCCUUUCAAUGCUAUUUGAGACUAUAAUUUACCAAACGGUGUAAUAUUUCGGAAAACCCCUUUACCUUAAAGGUAUAUGCAUUCUUCCAAGAGCCUUUCCCCAAAACCGAAUCAAACGGGCCCUAUGUAGCUUUGCGUAUAGGGCACACAGAGAAGUGAACUGAGUCCCAACUAUGUUCAUUAUUGCAUAUUCUCUUAGACACUUGGGCAACCAUAUAUACACUGAUAUGGCCUAGCAUCCUCAUAAGACGCUGUCUUGGUGCAUGAUCAUUGAGGCCGAUCUUCUCUGCGGAUUGUCUUCACUAUCAGGCGUAUCGUUUGCCCCACGAGAAGCACAGCCAUCAAGCCAACCCACACGAUGAUUCCGAAUCCUAUAAUCUGGUAGAUCGAAUUGUUUUCUUGAGAGGGUGUGAAGGCUGCUAUUGAGAGACCAUAGGCGACACCAUUAGAAUCCACAUGAAAAACCUAUGCCUCAAAGGGAGGCCACUCACGAGUAACAGGAUGAUGCUGAGGGACGCAAGAAAACCUACUGUGUUAACAGCCAAGAAACGCCAGUAUCUUAUCGAAUAAUUAUCGGCCAUGAUGGAAAAUCCUGCAGUGUGUGGAUUUGGACUGUCAUCCUCGGUAGUGUCUUGCCAAAAAAUACCCGGAGGUUGAUACCAACUUGGAAGGACAUUGUUGCGGUCAAAGAUUGUUUCUUGAGAUUCUUCUUCCAAUCUUUUCGCUGCACGGGGAAUGUGAUACUCUGAUCAUUUGCUUUUGGAGGUAAGGCUCUUAUCAUUAAGGGUUUGAUUUCACUCGUACAGAGAGCAUUAACAUUUGCGCUCCUCACUUCAGCUUCACAAAAAUUGUUUAUGUUGUCAAUGUGCCUUCCAGGUAUUCCACUCUGUGAUGAAAGGUCAUAUGCUACCGGAUUCUUCCGAUUCAAAAAGUCCAUUUCUACUGCUAUACAAGACAUCAAGAAAUUUAUUGUCUGCUUAGAUCGGCAAUUGGAUGCGUUAAGGGACUAUAUGAUAAGACAACCCGAGAUUAUACGGGUCGGCUUAGGGAGAUACAAAAGAGAAGACAGUUAUAGGUGCUUAAAAUUAUAAGAUUGAACUAGUGCAUUUCUACUUACCUCAAUUUGCUUAUCUGCAAUAGCCAAGUGUAAUAUAAUGUCACCAUCAUCGUUCUUCAAAUUAACGAACUCAUUAUCUCCAAUAUUCUCCGCCAAAAGCUUCAGAGCUUCCAAAUUAUUAUGCUUCACACAUAAAUGCAGUAUAGUCUCACCAUGCUCCAUCCUAUGAUGUGCUGCAUCGGGAUUCUCUCGGACCAGUUCCUUUAGAACAUUUAGAACAUUGAUUCAGCCUUUAACUGCUGCAACAUGAAGAGGGUUCCUACCAUAUCUGUCACGAGUGAAGCACAUACUUGCGUUGACGCUCGACAAUUUCUUUACUACUAUAAGAUGAACUUUUGCUGUAGCGAGGUGCAGGGUUUUACAAUUUUUGAGAAUCCGGCUCGCCUGCAAGCUCGACUUUUCGAUCCAGAAUCUUGUCAAUGAACUUCUUAUGUCCAAGCGUUGCUGCUACAUGUAAUGGGGUCCCAUUGUAAGACCACAUGAUACAUCCAUCAAGAAUCAGUGGAUUGUCUUUGAGCAAAUCAAGCAAAGAAGUCACAUCAGCUUCAGCUGCUGCUUUGUAAAGCCUGCUCUCCAUUUUUGCUCCUCAAGCUCUGAAACGCAUCCGAGCUUCAUAAAAGGGUUUUGCUUGAAGCAUUUGGCUGUAUGGCCAGGAAAGUCAACUUCUUCUGGAUGGAACAUCAACAUCCUUAACAAAAACCAUCGUUUGUUGACAUUGAAAAUUCUGGAUAUUUAUUGAACAAGUCAUUAGCCCAAAAAGAAAUUGUAGGGACUCAUCACUGAUUAGUGAGAAGCCAUUCGAUUUGAGUCGAUAACUUCUUCUAUACGAUCCCACAGCAAGUUGAUAGAAGCAUUAGACUAGAAUACGAAAUUAUUAACAUGACACAUGUUAUCCGAGGAAGUUAGAGUCAACAAAGACUUGGAUUAUAUUAUCAGCUGAACCGAUUAAUUGUCAUUAAUUUUCAUGAUUGAGUUGUUCAUAGCAUUACAUCAGAAAUCCAAGGAAACUGGGAGAAACCGUAAUUUGUUCUUUCUUUAGGGUAGAUGGCUACAACGACUGUUGAAUACAUUCAUACAGGGCGGAGCAUCUUUGACCAGCAUAGCAUCCAGUCCAAUGCCAAAAACAUUAGGAAGAUCGGUACAUUGUACUCUUAUGGUUGCUGACAUGUGCCUAACCGCAACCAAAUUCCUUUGUAUGUAUAACGUUAAAUGCGAUUUAGGUGUUCCGGGUGCAUAAGGCCCAAUAGUCAAAGGGGACGCGGGACAAGUUAAAUUAUGGCCUCAGGUUUCCGAUUUAGGCGUUCUUGGUAUCCAUGUGCUUGUAUGAGGAUGCUUUACACCAUGGUAUAUUUAUUUUUUUAUGUUUGAUGAUUUUAUGGAUGUAGAAACACAUACAAAACCUUAGAUUUGCAUAUUUUUAGAGAUUUUUUGUGAUUUUGGAAAUAUAGGUGCUAGCUCACAUGAAUAUCAUCACAUAAAGAAUGUGUAAAGUGUGAUUCAUUGAUAACAUGUAGAAGGUUCGACAUGUAUCAAUGAAUGAAGUGAUGUAAUUGAUGUGAUAUGUGGUUUUAGUGACAAAUUACUCCUGUCAUCAAGUUUAAAAUCACAUGUAAAUGGCAAAAUGUGAGACAUAAAGUUUAUAUCCCUAGUAUGAGAAAGUUUCAAUCAUUGACUUGGGUUGUGAUAGUUAAAGUGGCACACUUGAUUGAGUUGGAGAAAUAUCGAUUUCAUAUUAUGGUGGGAUGUCUCAUGUAAUAAUGCACGGUUAUGCUCCCAAAGGAGGUGAUUACGUAUUAAUUCAUGGAGGAAUAUAUGGUUAAAGAGUGACUAAUCCUAGUGGUUUAUACGCUCCAAGAUGAUGAUUCCUGAAGGUUGAAAUAGAUUCUCAUGACCAUUGUCAUGUGGAGAGUAUACAAUUUCAUAUCAUGUAUUCUACCAAAGAUGAUUAUAUGAUGAUUUAUGUAACUCUUUGAAUGUGUACUUAUGUGAUUUUAAGUUACAUAGUACUCACAUGAUGCCAAUUAUAUACAUUACUUAUUAUUUUAAUCACAUUAUCUGUAAUUGAUAACUCCAUAACUAUUAAAGCUCUUACUAGUUCAAACUUUAAUUAAUGGAAAGAUGAUUUUAUGUUUGAGAUGGAGCUGACAUAUGUUCAUAUUGCUAUUAUAAGGAUAAGCCGGUGGAUCAUAAUGCCGACGAUACAAAAUCCUAUAUAUAUAUAUAUAUUUUCUUGGGAAGAGAGCAAGUGAAUUUGCUUAUUAUCAACGAAGCAAUCCAUUUAUGAACAAUUAAAGAGUGGUUUGUUAGUUGACUGCAUCGCUAGACAAAUGAUGGAAGGCUUGGUGGCUUGGAACCAUGCCUCCUCUAAUGCCAAGAUUGUGACACAUCUACAAGGACUCUUCAGCAUAAGGUAUGAUAUUCUAAUGAGAUCAGGGAUUACGUCCUAAGGAUGGUAAACUUAAAAUCUAAAAAUCAUACUUAUAAAGGAACUCAUAAAACCACCAAUCUUCCUAACAAUCUGGGUCAUAAAUAGAAUCCUUUAAGAAGAAUUGGUGAAUGUUAUUUCUUUAUUAAAAGAAAAGUCACAUAAAGAUAGACUGUGGCAAAUAUAUAAAGCUUGGUUAUUCAAGCGUGAGCCUAUAGUUAAUGAUUUUUUAACAUUCGUUUAUGAAUCCAAUCUGUAUCAAGGGCCUUGUCAAAUUCUUGGUGGAUAGAUAAUGGAACAAAUUAUUUGUUGCAUUUACCAUAUGGAGAUUCAUAAAUUGAAAGAAGCCAAUUAUGACAAAUCAUAGCUCACCAUGGGAAACAAUGAUAAAGUCUAUGUUGAGUUUGUAGGAGAUAUCAUUUUAAUUAUAAAUUCCGGUUUUAAUCUAAUAAUAAUAAAAACAUUUGAUGUACUUUCCUUGAAAUGGAACUUAGUUUCAUAUCAUGUUUAGAUAUGUGCGAUACUCUUUUGAAAUAAAGAAUAGUAUUACUUUUAUGUUUUUCUUUUUUUCAAUUCAAAAUAAAGUUGGGUGUUGCAAUUUGUCUAAUGGAUUGUACAGAUUAUGUUUAACUCCUAAUGAUAUAUACGUCACUUAUAUGGUUGAAAAUGCUAUUUCCAAAAGAUCUCUGCCUAUAGAACAAUUUCAUGCAUUGUGGAGACUAUUAUAGAGGCAGGAUGACUAUAAUUUAAAAAAAAAAAUUGCAAUAUGAAAUUCUAACUUAUUGGAAGUCAUUCAUAGUAAUUUUAGUGGACCUUAUAAGGUAAUAUUGUGUGGAAAUUUUUAUUUUAACACAUUCAUUAAUGAUUAUUUCCUGUACUUGCUUAAGUAAAAGUCUAAAUAUCUUCAUAAGUUCAAGAUUUUUUUUGAAUAAAAAUCAAGAAAUAGUUUAGAUAAGUUUUAAAGGUUGUCAGAUCGAACCAUGAUGGUAAGUAUUUUAGCAAGUAUGGUAAUGCUGAAAAACUUAAAUGGUCAUUUGUCAAAUAUUUGAGGAUUCUGGGAUAGUAAUCAAUUUACUAUGCCCAAAAAUCUUGAACAAAAUGGCAUGGUUGAAAGGUAUAAUCACACCCUAACAGACAUAAUGCUAAUUAUUAUUAGCAAGAAUGAUUUACCAAGUUUUCUAUGAGGUGAAGCUUUGAAGAGGCCCUUUAUAGAUAAAACCGUGUUUCUUCCAAAGUUAUUCCAUUGACUCUUUUGAGUUAUGGAGUGAAUGCAAAACUAACUUGAAUCAUCUUAAGAUUAAGGGUAUCUUGCAAAAGUGAGGUUAUAUAACUCAAUAUUAAGUAAGUUGGAAUCCAGAACACUCAAUAUGGAAUCCAGAACACUCAAUAUUUUUUUCGUAUAUUACUCAGAUCAUUCGAAGGGGUAUCGAUUUUAUAACUUCAAUGAAGGUGCAAGAAUUUUGGAAUCACGAAUAAUAAAUUUUCUAGAGUUCGACAUAAUCGCAAAAGAUAGCAACUCUUAGACUAUUAAAGAUAAUAGUACGGUGGAGAUGACCAUGCUUUAUCUUCGCCUAUAUAGACAACUGUGAAGUCUUCUACAUCAUAAACUAAGCCUGUUGAGGUUCAGGUAUCGUUAUUGAGACAAUUUCAAUAUCGAGACACUUAGAGUGCCAAAACUUGACAUAGGAGGAUACUUAAGUACCAAAAUCGGAGUAAAGUGGAUCAAUUAAGUGCCAACGAAAAGAAAAUUUGGCCAAAUUGCGCACAUGGCAUUUUUCAGUGUCAUCUUUUACUAAGGCGGCAAUUAUGGUCAUCGGUCACCGUCAUCGCCGUCAUCGGUCGCCAUCGUCACUUGUCCAUGUUUGGCCUCUUCUCCCCUUCCCCUGUGAUGAAAUUAGGACUUGAACUCGUUUAUUAGGGCUUCGAUGGGAAAUUUGGGGCUUGGAUAGGAAAUGUGGAGGUCGAUUGAGAAAUGUAGGGCUUGGAUGGUACUUUGAUGUGCGAUUUAGGACUUGGAAGUGGUGCUAAAACCCUAAUGGGGGUUCGAAUUGGCAAUUUAAGGCUCCGCCUCAAAAUGUAGGAUUCGACGAAGGGAAAAUUAGGGCUCAACCUUGAAGAUAUGGUGUUAUUGUGAUGUGUGACUUAGAGCAGUGCUACUAUGAUGUGUGUUUAAAGCUUGGAUAUGGUAUUGUGAUGUGUAAGGGCAAUUAUUAGGGGUCAGAUAUGAAAUGUGAUGUGCGAUGGCAAUUUUGAUGGCUCGGAUUGGUUGUCAUGCGGACAUUUGGUCAUUUUUUUUUAUAAAUAAAAGUGUUGAAAUUGGUGUCGUGGGGACCUGUGCUUGUCGUAGGGACUUUUGUUUUUUGGUUAAUAUUUUAAGGGAAGGCAAAUAAUCGAAGUGGCUAUCAUGUAAGGGUAUAUUUCUGUUAGGGAAAUCCCUUAUGAUGUUUUGAAGAUGACAAAAUAAAUCAAAGGCUACUAACAUGUUUGAUGGUUGAGUAAUAGACCAUGCAGAUGUUAGAACAUGUAGAGGAUAUUAUCAAAGUCAGAAGACGGCCAGAAGACUGAACGUAACAUAUGCCCAGAGUAUAUUUUGAAGAUUUCCAGACUUCUGUGUCAAAGUCUGAAGACUGCCAGACUCGAGACUCCAAGUCUGAAGACUGCCAGACUCAAGACUCAAAGCCUGAAGACUACCAGACUCAAGACUCAAAGUCUAAAGACCGCCAGACUUUAGUGUCAAAGUCUGUUCUACAUCAGAAGUCUGCUCACUCUGACUAAUUCCAGACUGAAUGUGAAUGAUGAACUAGAAGACAGACUCUAUGCUGAAGCUGAACCAGAAGACAGACUCUAUACUGAAGUUGAACUGGGUACAGACCUUAAACUAAAUCUGUUCAGAAGCAGAUAUGUUCAGACCCAGAUUGUAAAGUCUACAGACUCAUAUUGUAAAGUCUACAGACUCAGACUUUACAUCCAGAUUCGAUGAAUCGUAACUCAAGCCCAAUCAUACAACAGCUAGUGAUCUGGUUUGGAUUCCACAUCAAGAUUGAUUUGAUUGAUUCAAUCUAAUUGAUUGACGAUUGGAUCUUGAAGACAAGAAUUCUAUACGAAGAAGCUUUACUUAUGGAAACCAAGAUUUCGUUUGUAUGAGCGAUCGGAAUCAAUUUGGGAUUUUACAUUUGUCACUCAACGGCUACCAAAUCUUCUAAAUACAGAGCUGUCCAAUGGGUAUAUUGGAAGACGAUUCUCCGGGAUGCUGUCCAACGGUUAGUUUGGAAGUGGAGGAGUAUUUAAGGAGAUGAAGGACCGAUGAGCAAGAAAGAGACGGAGCGUAGAAUUUAUAAUUCCAAAGUCUGAGCGACUUUCGAUCAUAUACUUGUCUCUUGAGAGCUUAAACGUUUGUAAUCGUGAGAGAAAUACCAAGAGAGUGACUUAGUGAGAUAGUGUGAUCUACUAAGUGUAUGCACUCGAAGUUGUAAUCUCUUGUUGAUUGCAUAGUGGAAUCCAGCCAAGAAGGCUGUUAUCGUGGGAGAGUGGACGUAGGCUUGGAUUAAGCCAAACCACUAUAAUUUAUGUGUUCUUAUUCUCUUCCCUAACUCUUUUAUUUUGUUCAUACUAGCACUCUCAAUUGGUAUCAGAGCUCGUGUACUCACUUUGUUUGAAGUGUUUUACUUCAGAGUAAAAAGAUCCAUGGCUAGUAUGUUGGCUCCAGGACUUAUGGAAGGGCAAAGCAACACAAGGCCAUCAUAUUUCGAUGGAAGAAAAUACAAGCAGAAUGGCCAGAAAAGAACAAUGAAAGAAGAUGAUGUGCAAAGAAAUAUAUGCUUGACAGCACAUUUAGAAUCUGAGUCUGACUCAGACACAGACUCAGAAUCAAAGUCUAAUUCAGAACCAGACUCAGAAUCCGAUGAGAAAAUCAAGGAAAUAAAGGAAAAGAAGAAGUUGGUAAGGAAUGUUUUUGGGCACAUAAUUCUCAUUAUGCUUGAUAUUCGAUAUAUCCUUGAUUGAUUCAGAUUUUAUAAUGAUCAUAUUUUUUUGAUUUGCUUUAUUGAAGAAAGAAUUGUGUGAUUUGUGAUUCGAGAUUUAAUUUGAUACGUGUGAUCAUUUUUGAUAUCAUGCUUAAAGACAAAUGAAUUUAUUUGGUUUGAUUUUAUACUCUCAGAUUUUAUCAUAUUUUUCCAAAUAAAAAUCUGUUUUACGUGAUAUUAAUUUAUGAUGCAAGAUAUUAUUGUGCAUAAUAUUCUUUCUUUGAAUACUUUGUUAUGAUAAAUUAAGAAAGAAUAUUUGAUUAUGGAGAUUAUAUAUUUUACUCUAACGUCAAGGAAGGAUCCAAAUUAAUGGAUACCAAAAAGGGAAAUGAGUUGAUUGCAGGAAAUUCUUUAAGGGAAGGAUGAUUGCGAAUCUACGCAGAUUUUGGUGCAAUCAGAAAAUAUCUCCUGCGACAGUUGCAACAAUUGUUUCUAUUCGCAAAUAUUGUCAUGAUCACAGGGGGAGAAAGCAAAUCCAAAAGAAAAGGAAAAGAAUCGUGAUCAUCUCAAAAAGGCAACAAAUUGAGGGGGAGCAUUGAUCAAUUAUGGAAAAAUCUUUUUUGAUUGAUCGUGAUCUUAUUAUGGAUGGAAGGAAAGGUAAUUGUAUCAGAAUUUAUUCUACAAAAUCCGGUUAGUGCAUCUCUUAUUACCUUUUGUCAUUAACAAAUCUCAUAUUGAUAUUAUCAUUUUAUUAUGACAAAAAUGGUACGUGAAUUUCAUGAUGCAUCUGUGAUUUUUAUUGGAUAUUUGCUGAUAUAAUCGAAGUGAGCUAUAUUGCAUAUCUUCAAUAUUCGAUUUACUUUAUAAAAGCUGAUUUUUGGAAAUUGUGAUUCAUGCAAGAUAUUUGUUAUCAUUCUCUACGUGAAUCCAUUAUUAAAGACUUUUUGAUUAUGACAAAAAGGGGGAGAAGAUAUGAAUAUGCAUAUGUGCUGAUUGGUUGAUAUUAUUUAUUGCAUAAUAUUGAGCUGCAAUUAUUUUCUAUCUUCUGAUAUCCUUUGAUUUAAAUUUUUAAAAGCAUGUUUACAAAUCNNNNNNNNNNNNNNNNNNNNNNNNNNNNNNNNNNNNNNNNNNNNNNNNNNNNNNNNNNNNNNNNNNNNNNNNNNNNNNNNNNNNNNNNNNNNNNNNNNNNGAAAAGGUCGGACGUUUAUUGCCAAUAUAGCAAACUAUCUUUUUAUUCCUUUCGCAAUUUUAUUUGCUGGAGCUGUUGCUUUCGGUCAUUUUCUAGUCUAAGUACAUCGAGAUAAUUACCUUCAGACAUCUGAUCAUGUCUCAUAUGCCAUAUUAAAAUUUGUUUGCUCUUGUUGAAAAUUUAGGCUGCACAAAUGGAAUCUGGCAAAGUAGUUCUUGUUACAGCUGCUGCCGGAGGGACUGGGCAAUUUGCUGUCCAGGUCUGUUUCUCAUUCAGAUUGAUGCUAUUAAAUCAGUAUUAUUAGAUCUAUGACAAUGUGAUUUUGCAACUAUAGUAGGAUUGCAGAGGUCAGUAUUGAGGGAAUGAGAUAUGACGAUCUCUAUCUGUAGUGUUUUUACAUAAUUUCAAUUGAUUGAUGUCCAACAAUUAGUCUAUUGAUAAGGUAACUUGCUAAAGUGAAAGGUGCUGAAGAAGACGCCAUGAAUUAGGGAGUCGUUAAGUAAGGAUAGUUGGAAAUAAAAAUUUUGAAGAACACCCUGCAGUCACGUCUAACUCUUAGAGGUCCGCUUAACUGGCUUUCUAUCUACAUGCUUGCCAAGCUUGCUUGUCUACUUGAAUGUUACUCCUAAUCUUUUCUUUAGUAGGUGUAUGAUCUUGUCAUGAUCAGGUAAUUUGAUGUGUCUAAUCAUAAUACAGUAUCUAUAGGGGUUUGCUUAUUACCCUUCUGUCCCAAGUAGUCAAGAACAAUAAAAAUUAUACCCUCCUGCAAAUUUAGGCGAUUGUUAUCCAGACUUCUGGCUAUCUAGUUGUCUAAUUUUCCAUUGUUGAUUUUUCCAGUUGUAGACUUAGAAGAAUUAAAAAGUUACCUUAAGUUGCUUUUGCAUAUUUGCAUGUAGCCUUGUGUCCUUGCAUUCAUGAUUCCGCAUGUUUGCUAAAAGGGAAGAAUUACACUGCAGCUUCUUAAUAUUAUUGUUUCUGAUAUGUUAGCAUUUUCUUCCGGAAGAGAAGAAUCUCUUCUUUCUUAAACACAACAUUGCGUGUGCUUAACUACGUUCCUCAACUGCUCACAUAAUUUUACACUACUAAGAGUCACUUUGUCUAUCAUGACCAUUUCAGCUUGCAAAAGUUGCUGGAAAUACAGUAGUAGCAACCUGUGGAGGGAGGGAGAAGGCCAUGCUUUUGAAGGAGUUGGGAGUCGAUCGUGUGAUAGAUUAUAAAGCUGAAGACAUCAAAACUGUAUGUCUCCUAAAAAUCUGUCUCAUCUGUUCAACUCUCCUUUUUGCACACAAUGUGGGGGUUGAGAAAUCAAAGACCCUGAUUCAUUCAAGUAGUGCAGCAAAUUAUUUCUAGAUAAGUUCACUGUCACACACGUAUCAGUAGAUACUUAUAUUGAUUAGGUAAAAGUAAAUGAGCAUAUUCAUCCACAUAUGCACAGAUACUAUCAUAUCUACUCGUGCAAAAUUAACGUGCACUUGAAACCCUGGAAAUUCUCUUUACCUUCAAUGUUCAUUUUAUUUUUGAAAUUUAGUGCUACUCCAUGAUCCUCCAUGCAAAUCCUUUUUGAUAUGGAUCUACUUGGCUGGAUUUAUAAUCAAUUCCUAUCACCUAUUCAAUGUCUAAAGAAUAACUUUAGCCUUUUGUCAAAAAGUCGUCUUUGCCCCUCCAUUGGGCUCUGGCGUCUGAAUGCCACUGACAUUAUCUGCAUUUUCAUGUUACAAUUUUCCUAUCCUUAAAAGAGGUGCAGAAGAUAAAAAGGUGAUGGUGUUAUAGAACCUUGUUUUUUCUCAUAUGGGAAUCUCUGAAGUGAACAACAGUGUGCCUUAGUAACUGGUUUACUCUUUGACAUUUUUGUAUUUUCAUACCAUGUCUCAAAUAGCUAGCUGCAGCCUUCCCUUGUUAAUGAACUUUAUGCAGUUUAAUUACUAUUUUCUAUAUUGUAACAAUUCUCGUAGGAUUAUGUUUGGAGUCUAGACCGGUUUCUGCUUUUUUCUCUCCUCUUGGGUCUAGUUUUUUUGUGAACUUUCAUUUAAAAUGAACUCAUUUAUCAAGAUUUACAAGAUAAUGCAUGAUACUCAAAUAAAAGAUUAUGUAAUGAGCUUUUUCUCUAUCUUUUCCAAAUUUACAGGUUUUGAAGAAGGAAUUUCCAAAAGGUGUCGACAUAGUUUACGAGUCUGUUGGUGGGGAAAUGUUUGAUCUUUGCUUGAAUGCUUUGGCCAUAUUUGGACGAUUGAUUGUAAUUGGCAUGAUUUCUCAGGUAUUGCCUCCUUAUGUUGUUGACAUCCAUCUGGGCCCGAUCUUUUAUCAUGAGUUUCCAGCAGUUCCAAUGUCAAACUUAGUUAUCUCAAUUAGGCUGUGCGGGAGCUUUUACAUUCUUGCUCUCACUUUCAGUGAGAUACCAAUGAAAGGAAAGUUAGGUUUCUGAAGUUUUUGUAUGAGUCUUGUGGUCGUAAUGCAUGGUAGAAGUUCUACUGCAAUCACAUUUCUGUGCUGCAGAGGGUCGCAAGACAGACAUGAAGAUGUUUUGCUUUGUAUAAUGGGGAAUAUUGGUUAGAGAUGCUAGGGAAAUAAAGAAGACUGUGCAAGGAGUCUUUGUAGCAAGUGCUACAUGUUUUCUAUCAACAUGCAUGUAUGGUUUUUCUCCAGUGUCUCCUGUAGUUGUGGUCUGCAUACUGUUCUAACAUUCUUCUUGCUUGAGUAUUAACUAUUGACAGUUGUACAUAAUUUUUAACCAGUACAAAAUUACUACUUUGAUUGUAGUAUCAGGGAGAGCAUGGAUGGACACCAAAUAAGUACCCUGGACUUUGUGAGAAACUUCUGUCUAAAAGCCAAACUGUGGUAUGUUUGAUAACACUUCUGCGUAGAGGACAGUGAUUGUACUCUACUGCAAUAAUUUUGCUCUUGGUGAUGCGCCAACUAUAUAUCAGGAAUAAGCAUGGACUGUGAAUUCUAUAGUUGUUUAUGCCUUUCUCUACUUGAAGUGUAUGAUAUGAUAUUGGCAAUGUUGGCAGGCUGGUUUUUUCCUGGUACAAUAUAGUCACUUCUGGCAAGAACAUCUAGAUAGACUGUUUCAACUCUAUUCCAGAGGACAACUCAAGGUACUGGUCUUCUUCUUUUUUUAACGUUUCUUUUACUGGUGAGACCUGACUCUUCCAUCAUAGAUCAUAUGCCGAACUUACAUUUCAUUAAUUGUGGAUAUCUGUGCCUUUUGCACAAUGCAAGGCCCUUACUUUCCUGUUAUCUUAUUCCUUCAGCCUUAUUUUGAUAUCCAAUUCCCUACCAAAAGUCACUGCCAAACUAAAUCUCUAGAAUGAGUUGGAUGAUUAUCUCUGCGCCUAAGUCGCUAUCCCGCCAAAUUUCAAAGUUCGCCAAGACUUAAUCUUCUAACUGAGUGCAGGUGGCCAUCGACCCAAAAAGAUUUGUGGGUCUCAAUGCUGUGGCAGAUGCUGUUGAGCAUCUUCAUUCUGGUAAAAGUAUUGGCAAGGUAUGUUCAUUUUCCAUGAAUUUUAUGGAUAUUUUGGGCACAUCAUUUGCAAAUUUCAUUACUUUGUUUUUCUUUUCCUGAUGCACAAUAAAUUUUGUGAAUAUGAACAAAAUCUUAUUCCAGGUGGUGGUUUGCAUGGAUCCAACUUUCACAGAUCAAGUAGCAAGACUGUGAAGUCUGAUCAAGGCUGUUUGAUUGUUUCGUUAAUAACUGUCAAAGUGAAUUACAAAGGGAUCUGUUUGAAAUAAUGACUCAGAGUGCAUAUCCUUCCAAGCGAUUAUUAGGGAACUGCAGUAAGAGACCUUCUCGAGAAAAUGAAUGUUAAUCUUCAGCAGAAAAAACCAAAAGGCUGCAAAGGAAUUUAAGUGAUAAAUAUGAAUUGCCCAUGGCUUUUUGCCAGGCGACAAAAGCUGGUAAGACCCCUUUAGAUAUUCUGACAACCCUUUUGUGGUCAUUCUCAUACACAGAACCGUCGCACAAAUGAUUACAAUGUAAGGAAACAUCAUUUUU